GCAUCAAGUGUUGAUGGUUAACAAGACCACUAGUUUCAAGAAAAGGGCAAGGGAAAGAAAGGUAACUUCGAGAAGAAUGGCAAGCAAGUUGCCACUCCCGUGAAGAAGCCCAAAGUUGAACCUAAGCCUGAAACUGAGUGCUUCUACUGCAAAGGAAAUGGUCACUGGAAGCGGAGCUGCCCCAAAUACUUGGAGGAUAAGAAGGAUGGCAAACUGAACAAAGGUAUAUUUGAUAUACAUGUUAUUGAUGUGUACCUUACUAGUGUUCAUAGCAACCCCUGGGUAUUUGAUACUGGUUCAGUUGCUAAGAUUAGUAACUUGAAACAGGAGCUGCAGAAUGAACAAAGACUAGUUAAGGACGAGGUGACGAUGUGUGUUGGAAGUGAUUCCAAGGUUGAUACGAUCACCAUCGCACACUCCCUCUACCUUCGGGAUUAGUGUUGAACCUAAAUAAAUGUUAUUUGGUGUUUGCGUUGAGCAUAAAUAUGAUUAGAUCAUGUUUAUUGCAAUACGGUUAUUCAUUUAAGUCGGAGAAUAUUUUUUGUUUUGUUUACAUGAAUAAAACCUUCUGUGGUCAUACACUCAAUGCGAAUGGUUUAUUGAAUCUCGAUCUUAGUGAUACACAUAUUCAUAAUAUCGAUGCCAAAAAUAUGCAAAGUUGAUAAUGAUAGCGCAACAUACAUGUGGCACUGCCGUUUAGAUCAUAUUUGGUGUAAAGCGCAUGAAGAAACUCCAUGCAGAUGGAGCGUUGGAAUCACUUGAUUAUGAAUCAUUUGAUACUUGCGAACCAUGCCUCAUGGGCAAGAUGACUAAAACUCCGUUCUCCGGGACAAUGGAGCAAGCUAAUGGCUUAUUGGAAAUAAUACAUACCGAUGUAUGUGGUCCGAUGAGUAUUGAAGCACGUGGCGGGUAUCGUUAUUUUCUGACCUUCACAGAUGAUUUGAGCAGAUAUGGGUAUAUCUACUUAAUGAAACACAAGUCUGAAGCAUUUGAAAAGUUCAAAGAAUUUCAGAGUGAAGUGGAAAAUCAUUGUAACAAGAAAAUAAAGUUUCUACGAUCUGAUCGUGGAGGCGAAUAUUUGAGUUACGAGUUUGGCCUUCAUUUAAACAAAGUACAAUGGUUUCACAACUCGCGCCACCUGGAACACCACAACGUAAUGGUGUGUCCGAACAUCGUAACCGUACUUUAUUAGAUAUAGUGCGAUCUAUGAUGUCUCUUACCGAAUUACCACUAUCGUUUUGGGUUUAUGCAUUAGAGACAGUUGCAUUCACGUUAAAAAGGGCACCGUCUAAAUCCGUUGAGACGACACCGUAUGAACUAUGGUUUGGCAAGAAACCUAAGAUUUCGUUUCUUAAAGUUUGGGGUUGCGACACUUAUGUCAAAAGGCUUCAGCCUGAUAAGCUCAAACCCAAAGCGGAGAAGUGUGUCUUCAUAGGAUACCCUAAGGAAACAAUUGGGUAUGCCUUCUACCACAGAUCCGAAGGCAAGAUCUUUGUUGCCAAGAAUGGAGCCUUUCUAGAGAAGGAGUUUCUCUUCAAAGAAGAGAGUGGGAGGAAAGUAGAACUUGAUGAGGUAAUUGUACCUUCUCUCAAUUUGGAAAGUAGCUCACCAGAAAAAUCCGUUCCCGUGAUGCCUACACCAACUAGAGAGGAAGCUAACGAUGAUGAUCAUGAAACUUCAGAUCAAGUUGCUACUAGACCUCGUAGGUCGGACAGAGCAAAAUGUUCAAGUGGCUGCUCUUUAUACGAAAUUGUGUCAUUCCCAUGUUGCUCUGCAUUCUGCAUUGCAUUUGUUCACAUGGCUAAGUGACUGAGCAUAUCAACUCCAUGUGCUAAUUACAGUGAAGUGAUUAAAGUUAUUUAUCUUGCCUUUGCAGAGAUUACAACACCCAUUUUGACAUAGCCCUAACUACAGGAGAAGAUUAGAACAGAUGAAAGUACAAAUUUUCUAUGAACAAGCAGAAAUCAGCCCUGCUUUUUUUAUUAAUGCAAGAAACAAGAAUCUAGGGAUACCAAUUUUUACAGAUCCACAAGCAAAAGAUAAACCAAACAACUAAAUGUACAAAUAGACUACCCAAUCCCCAUAGAUACAAGAAAACGUCAGAUCUUCAUGUAUCACUGCAAGCAUGAACGUACCAAUUUGGUGGAGGCCUGGUCCAUAGAGGAGGCUCGUGUAUGAGGUGCUGCUGCUGGCGGGAGGAGCUCCUGGAGAAGGACGCCAUGCUGCUUGAGAAAGCGAGCAGGUGGAUGGUGGGGUGCUAGGUCGCGGUGCUGUCCGGAGAGAAAGCGGCGGGAGGCAGCGCUGGGGUGCGGCAGAGGGUGUUUGGGAGCACGGCGUUGGUCGGAGGAAGGAAGCCGGCGCUCGGUGCGGCAGAGGUCGAAGAAGAAGCGGCGAAGGGUGCUCGGAGAUGAAUGAGGAGGUUGCUUUGGGGCGACUGAGGGUCCUAGGGUGCGGCGAUGGUGGGGAGGAAGCCAACGCUCCAGUGGGUAGUUGGCGGCGGCGGCGGGGAGGUCGGGGUGACGUUCUAUUCGGCUAGGGUUUGAUUUGGGGAGAAAUUUGGAAACGGGCUGAGUCGAGUAGUAGUAGGAAUUUGUGAAUGGUCGGCCCGCGAAUGUUUUUCGUCUCUCGCGCGCUCGCCCGCUCUCCCGCGCGUUUAGGCCUAAAAGAAUUCACUUUCUGGCUUGCGCCAUGCCCCGGCAGUUAAUGGGUCGCAACGCAGUUCUCCCGGCAGAAAACAUGUCGUCAAUCAUCCGCGACAGUUUGUAUGCCCCAGUAACUUAUCUUCUCCCGGUAGUUUCUCUGCCCAUAUUCACUUGUGUCGGCAGUAAUGUAAUCCCCGGCAGAUUAUUUGCCUUUGAUAAGGUAUUUCUCCCGGCAGUUAACUGCCCCUAAUCAAGUGUUGUGGUGUAGUGAAAUUAUUAGCUAAGCUUAAACAAAAAAACUCUGAAUGCUAGAAUGAAAUAUGAUCCUUCUUAUGCUACUUCACCUAUCUUUGUUACUGAUAAGGAUUAUGAAUUCUCUAUUGAUCCUGAUAUAAUUACUUUGGUUGAAUCUGAUCCUUUCUAUGGCUAUGAAUCUGAAACUGUUGUGGCACAUCUUACUAAAUUAAAUGAUAUAGCCACCCUGUUCACUAAUGAUGAGAGAACUCGCUACUUUUAUAUCCUUCAAAUAUUUCCGUUCUCAUUAAAGGGUGAUGCUAAGAUAUGGUUUAAUUCUCUUGAUCCUGGUUGUGUGCGUAGUCCCCAGGAUAUGAUUUAUUACUUCUCUGCUAAAUAUUUCCCUGCUCAUAAGAAACAAGCUGCUUUAAGGGAAAUAUAUAAUUUUGUGCAAAUUGAAGAAGAGAGUCUCCCACAAGCUUGGGGGAGGCUUCUCCAAUUACUUAAUGCUUUGCCUGAUCAUCCUCUUAAGAAAAGUGAAAUACUUGAUAUCUUUUAUAAUGGACUAACCGAUGCUUCCAGAGACCACCUGGAUAGUUGUGCUGGUUCUGUUUUCAGGGAAAGAACACCGGAUGAAGCUGAAAUUCUAUUGAAUAAUAUGUUGACUAAUGAAAAUAAUUGGACACUUUCUGAACCAACUCCUAAGCCAACUCGAAGAAGAGGGGUUUCUAUUUCUCAGUCCUGAAGAUAUGCAAGAGGCAAAGAAAUCUAUGAAAGAAAAGGGUAUUAAAGCUGAAGAUGUUAAUAAUUUACCUCCUAUUGAAGAAAUACAUGGUCUUAAUUUACCGCCUGUUGAAGAAAUAUAUGGUCUUAAUUCAUCACCUAUUGAAUAAACACAUGGUCUUGAUAACCCGACACAUGUAGUAAAGGUAAAUUCUCUCUAUAGAUAUGAUAAAGCUGAAAUCCCUCCUACUAAGUUUGCUAGCCAAUGUUUGGAUGAGUUUGAUAACUUUAUGGUUAAGCAAGAAGAUCUUAAUGCUUAUUUUGGUAGACAACUAAAACAAAAUGCUUAUAUGAUUGAACACUUGGGUGAUUAUAUGUCUAGAGUUAAAGGUGAACUUAAACUCAUUAGUAAACAUGCUUCUAUGGUCACCACUCAAGUAGAACAAGUACUUAAAGCUCAGAAUGAUUUGCUCAAUGAAUUGAAUAAUAAGAAUAAUGACUAUAUUGUUAGAGUGGCUACUAGAACUGGUAAAAUGACUCAGGAACCUUUGUAUCCUGAAGGCCACCCUAAGAGAAUUGAGCAAGAUUCUCACAGAAAUAAUAUCGAUGCACCUAGUCCUUCUAAAAAGAAGAAAAAGAAAAAUGAUAGGACUUUGCAGGCUUCUAGUGAACCUAUUGCUGAAACACCUGAGAAUCCAAAUGAUAUUUCUAUCUCUGAUGCUGAAACACAAUCUGGAAAUGAACAUGAACCUAGUGACAAUGUUAAUAACGAUGUUCAUGAUGAUGCUCAACCUAGCAAUGACAAUGAAGUAGAAAUUGAACCUGUUGUUGAUCUUGAUAACCCACAAUCAAAGAAUCAACGUUACGAUAAGAGAGACUUUGUUGCUAGGAAACACGGUAAAGAAAGAGAACCAUGGGUUCAGAAGCCCAUGCCUUUUCCUCCCAACCCAUCCAAGAAAAAGGAUGAUGAGGAUUUUGAGCGCUUUGCUAAAAUGAUUAGACCUAUCUUUUUGCGUAUGCGAUUAACUGAUAUGCUCAAAAUGAAUCCUUAUGCUAAGUACAUGAAAGAAAUUGUUACUAAUAAAAGAAAGAUACCGGAAGCUGAAAUUUCCACCAUGCUUGCUAAUUAUACUUUUAAGGGUGGAAUACCAAAGUAACUUGGAGAUCUAGGAGUACCUACUAUACCAUGCUCCAUUAAAAGAAAUUAUGUUAGAACUGCUUUAUGUGAUCUUGGAGCCGGAGUUAGUGUUAUGCCUCUCUCUUUAUAUCGUAGACUUGAUUUGAAUAAGUUGACACCUACUGAAAUAUCUUUGCAAAUGCCUGAUAAAUCAACUGCUAUACCUGUCGGUAUUUGUGAGGAUGUGCCUCUUGUGGUCGCAAACGUUACUAUUUUAACGGACUUUGUUAUUCUUGAUAUUCCCGAGGACGAUAUUAUGUCUAUUUUUCUUGGAAGACCCUUUUUGAAUAAUGCAGGGGCUGUUAUUGAUUGCAACAAAGGCAAUGUCACUUUUCAUGUUAAUGGUAAUAAGCAUACGGUACACUUUCCGAGGAAACAACCUCAAGUCCACAGUAUCAAUUCUAUUGGAAAAAUUCCAUCAAUUAUUUUUGGAGGUUUGAAUUUCUUCUUCCUACUACCAAAAAGAGAUAUGAUAUUCUUAUUAUUGGGGAUGUGCAUAUCCCCGUUGAGGUAACAUAGUGUUAUUAGAAUUUUCUCAGGUUUCAUCUGAUUCAGAAUGAGUUUGUUAACAAGACCUGAUCAACCUUGUUAGUGGAUUCCUUUUGAUGAGCAUGAGACGGAUGAAGUUAGAAAGCACAACCUUCUAUACCCUCCUUUUACUUUCUGUUAUUUAGUUGAAAUAAAGUAAAAAUAGUAUUUUUCUGUCUGUUUUCUGAAUUAUCCGUGCAAUAUAAAAAUACCCCUAAAAUAAAAGUUCUCCAAAUGCCCUGAAAUUGAAAUAUGAUUUUUUUUCUGGAAUAUUUGAGAAUAUUUGGCACUGAGAACACAGCAGGGGGAGCAAGCACCUGAGCACGAGGGUCCAGGGCGCGCCCCCUGCCUCGUGGGCCCACGGUGGCUCCCCUCCACUUAUUCCUGCACCCACACACUUCUUCUUCCUCCCAAAAAAAUCACCAUCCAGCUCAAGCACGAGUUCUAGCUCAUUUUGCUGCGAUUUUCGAUCUCCUUGCUCAAAGCACCUCUCACAAAACUGCUAUGGGGGAUUGUUCCUUGGUAUGUGACUCCUCCAUUGGUCCAAUUAGUUUUUGUUCUAGUGCUUUAUUCAUUGCAAAUUUGUGCUGCCUAGGUGUGACGCCCGAGUAAUCAAGCUACAGUAACCCUCUGGUAAUGAUGCCACGUCACCUCGAUUAUUGUUGAUAAUCUCGUGUUAGUUCAGAACUGAUCCAAGUUCAUAUUUUAAUUAAAGUCAAAACAAUUAAAGUUUUCAAAAGUCAAAACUAAAUUGUUCCUAAUGUGUCAAAUAAUCCAUAAUAAAUGUAGGUGAAGAAAUCAACUUUUAAUAAAAUACUUAAAUGCACGAAAUAAACUAAAACAACGAUAAAACAAUUAUCUAAAAUGCUUUUAAAAUAAUAAGCAAAUGCAAAAUACUUUAUUUGAGUUGCCGAAAUAUUUGGGGUUGUGACCAAAUCAGUUGUCGCUUUUAAAUUUUAUAAAACUAAAAUAAAAGCAAACAGAAAAGUAAUAGAAUAAGAAAGAAAACAGAACAUAAAAAAGGAAAAGAAACCCCCCNNNNNNNNNNNNNNNNNNNNNNNNNNNNNNNNNNNNNNNNNNNNNNNNNNNNNNNNNNNNNNNNNNNNNNNNNNNNNNNNNNNNNNNNNNNNNNNNNNNNNNNNNNNNNNNNNNNNNNNNNNNNNNNNNNNNNNNNNNNNNNNNNNNNNNNNNNNNNNNNNNNNNNNNNNNNNNNNNNNNNNNNNNNNNNNNNNNNNNNNNNNNNNNNNNNNNNNNNNNNNNNNNNNNNNNNNNNNNNNNNNNNNNNNNNNNNNNNNNNNNNNNNNNNNNNNNNNNNNNNNNNNNNNNNNNNNNNNNNNNNNNNNNNNNNNNNNNNNNNNNNNNNNNNNNNNNNNNNNNNNNNNNNNNNNNNNNNNNNNNNNNNNNNNNNNNNNNNNNNNNNNNNNNNNNNNNNNNNNNNNNNNNNNNNNNNNNNNNNNNNNNNNNNNNNNNNNNNNNNNNNNNNNNNNNNNNNNNNNNNNNNNNNNNNNNNNNNNNNNNNNNNNNNNNNNNNNNNNNNNNNNNNNNNNNNNNNNNNNNNNNNNNNNNNNNNNNNNNNNNNNNNNNNNNNNNNNNNNNNNNNNNNNNNNNNNNNNNNNNNNNNNNNNNNNNNNNNNNNNNNNNNNNNNNNNNNNNNNNNNNNNNNNNNNNNNNNNNNNNNNNNNNNNNNNNNNNNNNNNNNNNNNNNNNNNNNNNNNNNNNNNNNNNNNNNNNNNNNNNNNNNNNNNNNNNNNNNNNNNNNNNNNNNNNNNNNNNNNNNNNNNNNNNNNNNNNNNNNNNNNNNNNNNNNNNNNNNNNNNNNNNNNNNNNNNNNNNNNNNNNNNNNNNNNNNNNNNNNNNNNNNNNNNNNNNNNNNNNNNNNNNNNNNNNNNNNNNNNNNNNNNNNNNNNNNNNNNNNNNNNNNNNNNNNNNNNNNNNNNNNNNNNNNNNNNNNNNNNNNNNNNNNNNNNNNNNNNNNNNNNNNNNNNNNNNNNNNNNNNNNNNNNNNNNNNNNNNNNNNNNNNNNNNNNNNNNNNNNNNNNNNNNNNNNNNNNNNNNNNNNNNNNNNNNNNNNNNNNNNNNNNNNNNNNCCAAGCCCGCGGCCGCCUCCGGCGCCGAGCCAUGCCUGCGCGGCUUCCGCCCGGGUCGGGCGACCGCGAGCCCCUGCGCCUGUAGCCGCCCAGCGCCCGUUUAGCCCCUUUGGGCCAUUGACAACUGGGCCCCACCCCUGGAACUUUUUAUAAAAAUAAUAAUAAUAAAAUUAAUUAAUUAAUAAUUUAAUUAAUUAAUUAAUUAAGUAAAUUAAUUAACCUAAUUAAUUGUAAUUAAUAAACCUAAUCGUUUUAGUUAGACUAACUAAACCAGAUUAGUUAGUCUUAGUCUAUGACAUGUGGGGCCCUUCUGUCAGUUUGACCAGUCAACGGUCAACGCUGACCGCUGACGUCAUGAUGACGCAAUAAACAUUUUCGAAUUAAAUUAAUACUAAUAAUUUAUAAAUUGAUUAAAACUUUGAAAAUUAAUAUAAAUUAAACCGUAGCUCGGAUGAAAAUACUUUGUACAUGAAAGUUGCUCAGAACGACGAGAUGAAUUCGGAUACGUAGCCCGUUCAUCCGCCACACAUCCCUAGCAUAAAGAACACGCAAGCUUCCCCCUCCGGAUCACCUGUCCGAAAACGCAAAACGCCGGGGAUACUUUCCUGGAUAUUUCCCCCUACCGCCGGUAUCACCUACUACCGAGUUAGGGCACACCUAACACUGCUCAUUGUCAUGUCAUGCAUCGUCAUGCAUAUGUUUGCAUUAUAUUUAUUGUUUCUUCCCCCUCUUCUCUCGCUAGACACCGAGACCGACGCCGCUGCUACCCAAUACGACUACGGUGUUGACGACCCCUCCUUCUCGGCUGAGCUUCCAGGCAAGCCCCCCCCCCCCCUGAUCACCAGAUAUCGCCUAUUCCUUCUCUAUACUGCUUGCAUUAGAGUAGUGUAGCAUGUUACUUCUUUCGGUUAACCCUAUUCUGAUGUAUAGCCUGUCAUUUGUUGCUACAGUUGUUACCCUUACCUGCUAUCCUACUACUUAGUAUAGGAUGCUAGAGUUCCUUCAGUGGCCCUACAUUCUUGUCCGUCUGCCAUGCUAUACUAUCGGGUCGUGAUCACUAGGGAGGUGAUCACGGGUAUAUACUAUAUACUUUAUAUACAUGACACAUGUGGUGACUAAAGUUGGGUCAGCUCGUUGAGUACCCGCAAGUGAUUCUGAUGAGGGGGCUGAAAGGACAGGUGGCUCCAUCCGGGUAGAGGUGGGCCUGGGUUCCUGACGGCCCCCGACUGUUACUUUGUGGCGGAGCGACAGGGCGGGUUGAGACCACCUAGGAGAGAGGUGGGCCUGGCCUGGUCGGCGUCCGCGGAUACUUAAUAAUAACACGCUUAACGAGUUCUUGGUAUUUGAUCUGAGUCUGGCCAUUUGGUCUAUACGCACUAACCAACUACGUGGGAAAGUUAUGGGCACUCGACGUCGUGGUAUCAGCCGAAGCCUUCGUGACGUCAGCGACUGAGCGGCGGGCGCCGGAUUGGAACGUAAGCCUGCUCCUGUAUUAAGGGGGCUAGUUCUGCUUCCGGCCGCGUACGCAACGUGCAGGUGUGCAAUGGGCGAUGGGCCCAGACCCCUGCGCCAUAGGAUUUAGACCGGCGUGCUGACCUCUCUGUUGUGCCUAGGUAGGGCUGCGACGUGUUGAUCUUCCGCGGCCGGGCAUGACCUAGAAAAGUGUGUCCGGCCAAAUGGGAUCGAGCGUGUUGGGUUAUGUGGUGCACCCCUGCAGGGAAGUUUAUCUAUUCGAAUAGCCGUGUCCCUCGGUAAAAGGAUGACCCGGAGUUGUACCUUGACCUUAUGACAACUAGAACUGGAUACUUAAUAAAACACACCCUUCCAAGUGCCAGAUAUAACCCGGUGAUCGCUCUCUAACAGGGCUACAAGGAGAGGAUCGCCGGGUAGGAUUACGCUAUAUGAUGCUACUUGGUGAACUUACCAUCUACUCUCUUCCACAUGCUGCAAGAUGGAGGCUGCCAGAAGCGUAGUCUUCAACAGGAUUAGCUAUCCCCCUCUUAUUCUGGCAUUCCACAGUUCAGUCCACCGAUAUAGCCCCUUUACACAGAUACCCAUGCAUAUGUAGUGUAGAUCCUUGCUUGCGAGUACUUUGGAUGAGUACUCACGGUUGCUUUUCUCCCUCUUUUCCCCCUUUCCAUUCUACCUAGUUGUCGCAACCAGAUGCCGGAGCCCAGGAGCCAGACGCCACCGUCGACGAUGACUCCUACUACACUGGAGCUGCCUACUACUACGUGCAGGCUGCUGACGACGACCAGGAGUAGUUUAGGAGGAUCCCAGGCAGGAGGCAUGCGCCUCUUUCGGUCUGUAUCCUAAUUUGUGCUAGCCAUCUUAAGGCAAACUUGUUUAACUUAUGUCUGUACUCAGAUAUUGUCGCUUCCGCUGACUCGUCUAUGAUCGAGCACUUGUAUUCGAGCCCUCGAGGCCCUUGGCUUGUAUUAUGAUGCUUGUAUGACUUAUUUUAAUUUUAGAGUUGUGUUGUGAUAUCUUCCCGUGAGUCCCUGAUCUUGAUCGUACACGUUUGCAUGUAUGAUUAGUGUACGAUUGAAUCGGGGGCGUCACACUAGGUGACCAUGUUCUGGAGCUUGCAUGUCAAAUUUAUAUGGUUCCAAGUAGUUCUAAUGCAUGAUAUAGGCUCUAGCACUUGUAGGAGUAGUUGCUAUCAAUUUUGUUGAGCUUGGUUCACUUUUAUUUGAAGUUACUAAAAAUUUCAGAAAUUUUUCAGAGGAAGAAAUAUGUUUAGGAAAAUGUACCAAGGUGGUCCUUCAAGGAAGCAAGGACCCAGGCUUGCAAUGCGCGAUGCUGACGAUGAACCACCAAGGGACGCUCCAGCGCGGCCUUGUGAAUGGCCUUCAGAGGACUUCAUGGAUCAAGAAGGAAUUAAGGAACAAUUUAACGCAUAUUUGCGUAACACUGAUCUUGUGAGCUUCGAGGUAGAAAAGUGUCGUCAGUACCACUAUCUCACUAGUUCCUUCGUGAGGAGGUUUGAAUUUUCAUCUACACGCAAUUCUCAAACUGUCCCGUUUGAUCUUUAUGAAAAUUCUUAUACUAUGGACUUAGAGGAUUUUACCACUGCUUGCAAACUUCCACAAUGGGGUAGUACUAGUGAACCUCGCAAAUCUGAAUUUAGAGAUUUUCUUGCUAGUAUAACUGUGGGGGAAUCUAGAGACAUAGCACAAGCUACCAUAGGGAGCAUUCAUUUUCCUGCUUUACAUUAUUUUGCUCCCUUCAUAGGUAGGUGCAUAAAUGGUAAGGAUGAAGCAUGUCACAUGUGUGUCCCUGACCUCAGUAUUCUCAGGAGUGCUAUUUUAGGAGAUAAACAUUAUAAUUUGGGAGCCAUUGUUGCACAUAGGUUGCAUCAUAAUAGAUUUAAUGGAGAUUUCUUUGGGGGAAUUUAUCCAACCCGUAUAGCUAAUUUCCUUGGUAUAACUAUACGUGAGGAUGAUAUUGAGUUGCCUCCUGCUUGUUUAGAUUAUGAGGCUAUGGUGCGUCAUCGUUUUGUUGAGAGAAACGAUCAGUUCCUCCAGUACCGACUAAUCUUUGACAGACGAAGCACUUAUCACGUCGCUCUCCCUGCUUCUACUUUCUUUGACUUUCAGGCAAAGGGGAGAUAUUACAUAACCAGAGAGGAGGCGGAGGAGUAUAAGAGGAGGGCUGAGAUAGCUCGCCUCCAAGCUGCAGCCCACGAUGCAAUGACUGCUGCAUCUUAGUACGACCCCAACUAUCACUUUGGAUAUCCGUCAGGCCAUCCGUGGCAAUAGACCAACUUAGGCCAAAAGCCUAAGCUUGGGGGAGUACGUAUUUCUCACCGACAUUACAUUUAUGUUCACACACUCAUUGCUAGAUGUCGGUGCUCAUACUCUUUCAUUGUACUAUCCAUGCUAGUUUAUUUUCUUUUUCUUGCUUUCUUCUUGUGUGUUUAAUGAACCUUAAGAAAAACCAAAAGAAUUAGUUGUAGCUUUCAGCUAGUUUACUUUUCCUGCUGUAGUAGUAAUAAUUAAAAAGAAAACCCAAAAAGACUUCCCGUUCUUCUUUUGCUUGUUGGGAGCUUUCCCGUGUAAAUAGUUUUAUUUUAUUUCUUUUCUUUGGGGGUCGAUAGGAGAAGACCAUGAUGAAAUUGUUAAAGUGACUCUUAUAUGCAUUAUUGUUGAUUUAACCAAGAGCCCAUAUUGCCUUGUCUUCUCCUGUUUAUUGAAUGCUCGCAGAUUCCAGCUUAGUCCAAUGCACGUGCACUAUUAUUAUUAUUCACAUCGUUCGGUCGUGCAAGUGAAAGGAAAUUAUGACGAUAUAUGAAGAAUUGAUUGAGAUGAGAGAAGCUGGUAUGAACUCGACCUCUCUUGUUUUUGUAAAUAUGAUUAGUUCAUCGUUCCUGAUUUAGCUUAUUAUGAAUAAACAUGUUUGCAAUGAGAAUUAGAGAUUAUAGUUGCUUAUGCCAUGCUUAAUUAGCUAGGAGUUUAUAAUGGUUUACCUUGCGUGCCAACAUGCUAUUAAAAUGGUUGUGAUGUGGUAUGAUGGGGUGGUAUCCUCCUUUGAAUGAUUCAAGUGACUUGACUUGGCACAUGUUCACACAUGUAGUUGAAACAAAAUCAACAUAGCCUUCACAAUAUUUAUGUUCAUGGUGGAUUAUAUCCUACUCAUGCUUGCACUCAAUGUUUAUUAAUUUUAAUGCAUGUUCAUGACUGUUGUCGCUCUCUAGUUGGUCGCUUCCCAGUCUUUUUCUAGCCUUCACUUGUAAUAAGCGGGAAUACUGCUUGUGCAUCCAAUCCCUUAAACCGCAAAGUUAUUCCAUAUGAGUCCACUGUACCUUCCUAUAUGCGGUAUCUACCUGCCGUUCCAAGUAAAUUUGUAUGUGCCAAACUCUAAACCUUCAAAUGAAAUUCUGUUUUGUAUGCUCGAAUAGCUCAUGUAUCAACUAGGGAUGUCCAUAUCUUCCAUGUUAGGCGGGUUAUUCUCAAGAGGAGUGGACUCCACUCCUCACUCACGAGAAAAUGGCUGGUCACCGGGAUGCCCAGUCCCAUGCUUUAUGCAAAUCAAAUCAAAAUAAUUGCAAACAAAACUCCCCCGGGGCUGUUGCUAGUUGGUGGCACUCGUUGUUUCGAGCCAGCCAUGGAUUGAUACUUGUUGGUGGAGGGGGAGUAUAAACUUUACCAUUCUGUUUGGGAACCGCCUAUAAUGUGUGUAGCAUGGAAGAUGACAAUGAAAGUAUACCGCUCAAAAUAUUAUUUAUCUCUAUUUCAAAACCGAGCUCUGGCACCUCUACAAAUCCCUGCUUCCCUCUGCGAAGGGCCUAUCUAUUUACUUUUAUGUUGAAUCAUCACCCUCUUAUUAGAAAGCACCAGCUGGAGAGCACCGCUGUCAUUUGCAUUCAUUACUAUUAAUUUAUAUUGGGUAUGACUAUGACUGGAUCUCUUUUACCAUGAAUUACAAUGUCUAGUCAGUACUUGGUCUUUAAAAGUGCUCUGCAUUUAUGUUUUGCGGUCUCAGAAAGGGCUAGCGAGAUACCAUCUUGUUAUAUCAUAUCAUGAUUGUUUUGAGAAAGUGUUGUCAUCCGAGAUUUAUUAUUAUUGCUCGCUAGUUGAUUAUGCCAUUGAUAUGAGUAAACAUGAGACCUAAACGUUAUUGUGAAUAGGGUUAGUUCAUAAUCUUUGCUGAAAACUUGAAUGCUGGCUUUACAUAUUUACAACAACAAGAGCAAACAGAGUUUGUAAAAGUUUUUCUUUAUCACUUUCAGUUUAUCAACUGAAUUGCUUGAGGACAAGCAAAGGUUUAAGCUUGGGGGAGUUGAUACGUCUCCGUCGUAUCUACUUUUCCAAACACUUUUGCCCUUGUUUCAGACUCUAACUUGCAUGAUUUGAAUGGAACUAACCCGGACUGACGCUGUUUUCAGCAGAAUUGCCAUGGUGUUAUUUAUGUGCAGAAACAAAAGUUCCAGGAAUGACCUGAAACUUCACGGAGAUUAUUUUUGGAAAAUAUAAAAAAUAUUGGCGAAAGAAUCAAGGUCAGGGGGCCCACACCCUGGGCACGAGGGUGGGGGGCGCGCCCUACCCCCUGGGUGCGCCCCCCUGCCUCGUGGGCCCCCUGGAGCUCCAUCGACCUCAACUCCAACUCCAUAUAUUCCUGUUCGGGGAUAAAAUAAUCAGAGAGAAACUUUCAUCGUGUUUUACGAUACGGAGCCGCCGCCAAGCCCUAAAACCUCUUGGGAGGGAUGAUCUGGAGUCCGUUCGGGGCUCCGGAGAGGGGAAUCCGUCGCCAUCGUCAUCAUCAACCAUCCUCCAUCACCAAUUUCAUGAUGCUCACCGUCGUGCGUGAGUAAUUCCAGCGUAGGCUUGCUGGACGGUGAUGGGUUGGAUGAGAUUUAUCAUGUAAUCGAGUUAGAUUUGUCAGGGUUUGAUCCCUAGUAUCCACUAUGUUUUGAUAUUGAUGUUGCUAUGACUUUGCUAUGCUUAAUGCUUGUCACUAGGGCCCGAGUGCCAUGAUUUCAGAUCUGAACCUAUUAUGUUUUCAUGAAUAUAUGUGAGUUCUUGAUCCUAUCUUGCAAGUCUAUAGUCACCUACUAUGUGUUAUGAUCCAGCAACCCCGAAGUGCCAAUAAUCGGGACCACUCCCGGUGAUGACCAUAGUUUGAGGAGUUCAUGUAUUCACUAUGUGUUAAUGCUUUGGUCCGGUACUCUAUUAGAAGGAGGCCUUAAUAUCCCUUAGUUUCCGCUAGGACCCGCUGCCACGGGAGGGUUGGACAAAAGAUGCCAUGCAAGUUCUUUUCCAUAAUCACGUAUGACUAUAUUCGGAAUACAUGCCUACAUUACAUUGAUGAAUUGGAGCUAGUUCUGUGUCACCCUAUGUUUUGACUGUUACAUGAUGAACCGCAUCCGGCAUAAUUCUCCAUCACCGAUCCAAUGCCUACGAGCUUUUCACAUAUUGUUCUUCGCUUAUUUACUUUUCCGUUGCUACUGUUACAAUCACUACAAAACCCAAAAAUAUUACUUUUGCUACCGUUACUGUUACUUCCAUAUUACUUUGCUACUAAAUACUUUGCUGUAGAUAUUAAGUUAUCCAGGUGUGGCUGAAUUGACAACUCAGUUGCUAAUACUUGAGAAUAUUCUUUGGCUCCCCUUGUGUCGAAUCAACAAAUUUGGGUUGAAUACUCUACCCUCGAAAACUGUUGUGAUCCCCUAUACUUGUGGGUUAUCAGGGGCGCACCAAGGGGGAGUCCAACUAGGAUUCCCAAUCCUAGUUGGACUCCCUUUCCUAUUCCAAGAGGGGGAAGGAGGGAAGGAGAGGGAGAGGAAGAGGAAACAGGGGGUCGCGCCCCCUCCCCCUAGUCCAAUUCGGACUGCCCUUGGUGGGCGCCACCCUAUGGGCUGCCCUCUCCUACUCCCUUAUGGCCCAUCUAGGCCCAUAACUUCCCCGGGGGGUUCCGAUAACCCCUCCAUUCCCCGAUAAAUAUCUGAAACGUCUCGAAAGCUUUUCGGUGUCCGAAUACCUUCGUCCAAUAUAUCAAUCUUUACCUCUCAACCAUUUCGAGACUCCUCGUCAUGUCCGUGAUCUCAUCCGGGACUACGAACAAACUUCGGUCACCAAAACACAUAACUCAUAAUACAAAUUGUCAUCGAACGUUAAGCGUGCGGACCCUAUUGUGACACCCAAAAUUUUUAUUGGAUUUUUUCAAACUUUUAUUUUUAUUUUGAGGAGGGUACUUAAAACUUUCUUCUAAAGAACCCACCCUCUCAAAAACUUUCUUUUAUGGCAAGUGUUUUAUUUGGAUUCACCCAAGACUUGAUUUUGGUCUUGGAGGUUUUCCCUUUUUACUUGGACUCAAAACCAAAUGCUUUUCACUUGGGAAAAUUUCUUUUGAAAAAUCCUUUAAAUAGCCCUAUGGCAUUUUGAAGUGAUCUUCUCCCCUUUUCAAAAAUCCCUCUUGCCAUGACCUAAGGGGAAAUCCACUGCCAUAACCUUUUUCCCAUCUUUGGAUCAUGUUAUACCUCAAAUCCAGCAAGUUGAACCACCCCAUAUUUUUGUUUCCAUUUAUUUUCCCAUCAAAAACAAUUUUUGCCUUCUAUCUUGAUCCUUGGAGAUUUACAAAGGAGCUACCCUUUCUGCUUUGAGUUUUGUCUCCAAACCAAUUUCCCUAGCUAGUCCUUUGAGCCCUCAACCAAGAUCCAUGAAGAUCCACUGGUCUCCAGUUCAAAUUUUUCAAACUACACUUGCUGCAAGUUUGGACCAGAUUUGCCAAAUUUGAUGAAAUUCAUUUGAAUCCUCCUCCUAAAAAUCUGAGAAAUAUCAGGCAGCCCCUGGGUGCAUUGAGAGGUCACCUCACCAAAUCCCAACUCCAGGAAAAAAAUUCUUCAUGCCAAAUCAUUUCGACGAACACGUACUGGACACUGUUGCUGUCAUGUUCAGUUAAGUUCAGAGAACAGUUUCAGUGCACUGUCGUUUUCUUCAGUGUUCGUUGUCCAUCUCGCCAGAGUCGCUGUGGCGCCUUGCUCCCCGUCCCCUCCCCCUUGUCCUCUGCACCGCACGAGCGCCUGGAAGGUUGCGGGCGUCGGCGACGAGCAGGAGGAGGUGCGUCGCCCCGUGACCGACGGCAGCGAUGGCUUUGCGGCCGCCAGAGAGAGGCGCAGCGCAGACGGCGCCGUCCAGCGCCGCCCAAGCCACUGGAGGCCGCCGCGUGGCCCUCCACUCCCCCGUGCGCGCUGCCACCCUCGUCGUGAACCGCUAGGCGCAGAGCGCGCUCUCUGCCGCCGCCGUGCCCGUACGGCCACCCCGUCGAGGACCGGCGCCAUUACGCCAAGACCGACCAAGAUUAGCAGGGGAACGGCACCAGUACACCUCCCUGAUGCUGCCUGGCCACUUAAGCUCCCAGCCAAGCCAUUGCCUCGCCGUAAUUGCUCGCCGGAGCGAUCCCGUUCACGGCCACCCCCUCGAACCGCCUAUAAAUAGAGGCCCCGAGCUCCAACUCGAACCCACACCACCUCUGCACUCCACCUAGACCACACCUAGCCACUGGAAGAGCCCCGAGGGAGCUUUCUUCCCCAGCUCCGGCCGCCGCGACCCGCCACGGGAUCCAGCUCGAUUCGCUCCCGUGCAUGCACCUCUAACCCCCAACUCUUGCCAGUAGCUCUCUUAUGCAUCCACUCUCCUGACCCACGCUUCAAUUCGGGGUUUGCAGCAACCACCGGAGUUCUCCACCAUCGCCCGAGCCGCCGUCCGCCGGAGAAAGUGUCGCCAUCGACGUGGUGCUCUCCGGCGACCAAGUCCACCACCCACCGACGCGGAAGAACACGCUGAAACUCUUGGUACACUCCGAUCUCCCUGUCUCGCCGUGGUUCAACGCCGGCGACCACCGCAGUCUUCGGGCGCCGGCGAGGUUUUCAAACCUGACAUGUGGACCCCCCACGUCAGCCUCUCUUCCUUCUCUCCCUCGAAACGUUUUCUGUGGGCGCCUUCGGGCAGAAUACGCUUUCCCUUUGGGCUGACGUCUUUCCCUCCGAACCGUUUUCUAUUUUCUCAGUUAAGUCCCUGGAUCUUUUCUGUUUCAUCACAGAUUGGUCCCUGGACUAAAACCCUUAUAACUUUUUAACAAAAGGUGAUUUUUGAGUGAUUCUUUUUCUGUCAGUCUUGUAUUUUUGUCUAGUUUUUUAUAGUAUUUAUUUGGAAAAAAUUUGGGACAACUUUUAUGCACGCGUUGAUUUUCACGUUAGUAUACGUUUUCGCUAUACCGUAGGUUCCGGAAGAGGUGAAGGAGCCGCGAACUUCGCCGAGCUAGACUCCGACUUCUCUGAACCAGGCAAGCAUGUUUGAACCUUUGAUAUGACGGGUGUUUUGCAUGUUGCUUGAAUGGUUUGUGCAUGGCAUAUGAGCAUCGGUGAGUAUCUCGUUGCAUGUAAGGCAACUACCCGUGUGGUCCAAAGUUACGGUGAUCUCUGAUGAGAGAUAGCCUAGUCAUGUGGUGACAUGAAAGGUAGUAAGGUGGUAUUGUUGUAGCAUGCCAGCCUUACGAUGUCCGAUAAACUCCGAUGUUAACGUGGACUGAGUCACGUUAUCGUUCUUCCCCUAUCCGUGCCGCCACAUGUUUUCUGCCAAGAAUACGGUUUAGUAAGUUGGUAACCUCUUUCCGUGUACACACCAAAUAGAGGGGCCGGGAUGAGGGUUCCAUGGCCCUGGAUUAAAGCCAGUCAUCCGGUCAGGGGGCAUGGUUGUUUCCGGUUGGGACCGAGAGGGGGGGCACCCCCUUAGAGCGCGCGUAUAUAAAUUUGAUCCCAUGCUACGCGAGGUUGUAGCCUCCCCGUCUCAAGGUUUUUCUUGAACGUUGCUGGGGGUGAUUCCUGGCUUCGGAAUGUUGAAUGGGUGUGUACUGGUUAGAUGUGCUUCUUCCAAAACUCCGUAAACGGAACUAGUCCCCGUGACUACUGAAAUCCGUUGUCUGUGGUUAAAGUACAAACUCUGCAGAGUCAAAUCCUUCCGAGUCAUCGUAUCUAUGGUCAAGGAUCAUGGCCAGUAUACCCAUAUCUAUGUCAAUCCUCGUGGUAAAAUCCCCGGUGAACAGGCUUGAGUGGUAAACCCAGUUUAAUUGUUAUUCCUGUGGAUGGACUAACUCUUCUUACUUAUUUCGUACUUGAUGUGAUUAUAUUUUUGAGCUACUGAAUUAUUAAGUUAUGAUAUAAGCCCUUUAUGUGAUGUCGCUCAAACGUCCGACUGUGGCACUCUUGUUACUCUACCUUUGAUAUAAGCCCUUUAUGUGAUGUCGCUCAGACUUCCAACUGUGGCACGCACCGUCAUUUAUAUUAUGUUAUAAGCCCUUUGUGUGGUGUCGCCUUGACGCCCGACUGUGGCAUUGUUAUUUCCUUUGUUUUUUCCUCUCGAGGAGUCAUUGAGACACUCGUUUGGCACUCAGUAUUAGUUUGAGAUUUCGGGAGGACUACCGCCCGACUUCUCCUUGUUUUUCCCAUGCAUUAUUAUCUCGUUGUCUGAAUGCACUUGUUAAUCUGUUCCUAUGCAUCAUGUUUACAUUUGUUAUAUCUUAUGUCCGAACUGUCUUGCGAGUACUUUCAUAGUACUCACCUGGCUUGUUGAUUUGGCCAGAUGUUGACGAAGGCGAUAUCAUGGAUGAAGAGUUUGAUAGUGAGUCCGAUGCCUAGAGGAAUCCCAGUCAGUCCCGUGCGAUCCUGGAUUUUGGUCACUUGUAUCAUAUACGCUUCCGCCACCCACAAUAAAUAUCCUCGAGCCUCACUCCGACGCUCGAAGAGCUGUUAGUUUUCAGGAGUCAUAUCACCCACUUCGCUGUGAUAUAUCCACCACCGCUUUUGUCGUGAGUUAGUAGUUAUGCCACCCUAUCCGCCGUUAUGUUUUAUCGGCGCGCUUGUAAUAAAUUGUUGAGCAGUCUCCGCUCAACUUUGUAUUAUACUCAGUACUCCUGGUAUUUUUCUUCUGUGAUCAAGAUUUUGUCUACCAGUAAGAAGGGAUUCUUCUUUACUAGUCCGUAAAAGGGAUCGGUCUCUCAAUAAAUAUUUUUAUUGGAAAACCGGUCGUGACAAGCUUGGUAUCAGAGCCAGGCUGACUCUAGGAAGCCACUAGGUGCGAUCGCUAAUCGGUUAUUAGCGUCUUUUGCGCUUUUUCAGCAUUUUGGAAUUGUAGCUAUUUUCUGUUGGUCAUCAUAAAUUUAUGACAUGACUACUCAGAACUUUUGCCUACUUUUGUAGAUGGCUGGCAGCAACUGCGAGACUCGGGUGUUCACUAAUGUGCCCGAGGGGUUUGUCAAACUCCUCGUCUCCAUCACCAAGCUCGCGAUCGGGCCAGCGACUUGUCCGGAGUUCACGCUUUACCAGCACAAGCUCAGCGAUGACGUGUCUAUGCACCAGGCCAUGGUGCAAUUCAAGGGAGGACGUUCGGCGUCUCGCCACUUCCGUUUUGUGGGAAGGGCCAUGCCUACGGAGAGGCAUGCCAUGCAGAUGGCUGCCCGUGAGGCGAUAGCUCGCCUUCGGGACAUUCUUCCUACGAUGAAGACUCGUCGCUACCGCUACCUCCCUUGCCAUGUGCCAUAUACUUGUCACUAUGCAUUCGCCUGCCAUAGGGGAGAGCGAGAUGAAGCCAUCGAGAUGGUUGUUGAGUACCUCAAAGCUCUGGAGGAAUCCUUCGACAACCUCGUGGACGAUCUUGUGGCUGCCCGCAUGGACUUAGUUCGGGGCGGUCCUGCCAGCAGGAAGGAGCUUCUCCACACGGCACCGCCUCUGACUUUCGUCUCGUCCUCAGCAUCUUAUGCACCGGCCAUUUUGGCCACUGCUCGCCGUCUGCCUACCACUGAGGAGUUCGACCGAGUCAUCGCCCUACUCCAGUCAGAGCUGCACCACCUGCCGCACCCGCACUGCCGCUUGUCGCACCCGCGCCAUCACCUCAGCGCAGUGCUACGCGCCUGGAGCCUGCUAGAGAGGAGGUGGAGGUUGAGUCUCCUGCACCGCUGGGUCUUACCCUCGGCAAAGGGAAGGAAAUCUUCACCAUCUCCGACUGAGUGCGCCGAGUAGCCGCGCGUUGUGUCUGCAUGUAUGUUAUGUUUCAUGUACUUGAGUUUGUAGUAGUUGUGUGCGCUGCAUUCCGGAGGAAUGCGCUAGUCCAAAUAACAUGUCAGGAAUGUGUACGCACAUCCUGAGUGCUGUAUCAUUUGUUUGCGUAUCGCGUGUAAGAUUUGUGUUUUAGCAGUCAUUUCUCCGAGCGAAAUCGUUUAUGUUUUCUUGAAAAAUCUUGAGGUCUUUUAAAUUUUUGCCUUUGCAAGAUUUUCCGGGUGCCACACAGUUCUUCUUAUGAAUUUUGCUAAAUAAUACCCCAGAGUGGAAAAUGUCUCGUCCGUGGACUCGUUCCAUGCCCAAUCAACAAGAAGAAGUUUAUGAGACACAGACCAGCAACAACUUCACUCAGGGACAGUCUAGUCAAUAGGACAGCGAAGCAGCUUUAUCCCAAGUAUGCCGCCUCUUCGAACAAAGCCAGCAACAACACCAGGAAAUGAUGAAUCACGUCAUCAAUAUGGGGAAUCACCGUGAGCCAUAUCAACCCCACUCCAAGUUGUCUGAGUUACAGAAGACUCGCCCUCCAACAUUUGCUCACACGGAUAGGCCACUUGAAGCCGAUGAUUGGCUUCGUGACAUCGAAAGAAAGCUGAUUAUUGCACAGUGUUCAGAUCAUGAGAAGGUGCUUUAUGCACCCCACUACCUUACUGGAGCAGCUGCAGCAUGGUGGGAAAACUUCCUACACAUGCAUCCCAGUGAACACAACAUCACCUGGGAAGAGUUUAAGGAAGGCUUUUGUGGGGCACACAUCCCCAGGAGCAUCAUAAAAAUCAAGAAGAGAGAAUUUGAUGACCUCAAGCAAAGAGGCAUGUCAGUGAUAGAAUACAAUGGUCAGUUUACCCAGCUAUCUCGCUAUGCCUACGACGAGCACAUGACAGAGAACAAGAGGAUGGAAAAAUUCUUGGAUGGCCUGGCACCAGCAUUAAGAUGCCAACUGGUCAUGCACACUUUCCUGGAUUUUAAAACCCUGGUUGACAAGGCCAUUACCUUGGAGAAUGAGCGCCGCAGCCUGGAGGAUAUCCGUAAGCGGAAAAGGGACAAGACGACCCUCGCUCGCAACAAUCGAUGCAAGACUGAGGUUCCGAGGAAUGAAGCAAGGAAACCCACGACUACUGAUCUAAGGCCAACCAGGCAGUUUCAUUCAAGGGACAAGGACUUCACGUACCAUCCAGGGGUCACUUGCUACGCUUGUGGUGAAGAGGGGCACUAUGCCAAACAGUGCCCAAAGCCAAGGAACUCGGCCCCCAAGCCAAACAAUGGUGGGAACAAUCCAGCCCCCAAGCGCAACAAUUUCAACCCCAACAACAAUCACAGGAAGGGUCACCUGAACCAUCUGACCAGGGAAGAAGCGCAGAAUGCCCCAGACAUCGUGCUUGGUACGUUCCCUGUCAACACAGUACCUGGCACGGUUUUGUUUGAUUCUGGAGCUUCUCAUUCGUUCGUUUCGAAGAGUUUUGUUUCACAACAUGGUUUUCCGAUACUUCCCUUGGAAAAAUCUAUGAUCAUCAAGUCCCCCGGAAAUAAGCAAAUCGCCCAGAGUUACUGCAAAGGAGUAAUCAUUGAGUUUGAAGGAUUAAAGUUUCAAGCUAAUCUCAUCGUGUUGGAAAAUAAAGGACUGGAUGUCAUCCUAGGGAUGGACUGGUUGACCACCAACAAAGGAUUUAUUGACUGUUUCAAUCGUACUGUGAUUCUCACUCAUCAUCGCGGCAAGACAAUAAAGGUUACAGCUCAAGAAAGACCACGGUCACGGCAACCAAAGCUGAACAAAGUGGACAUUUCGGAAUUGAGAAAAGUUCCAGUGGUGUGCGAGUUUCCAGACGUAUUCCCUGAGGAACUACCAGGCAUGCCGGCAGACCGAGAGAUAGAAUUCAGCAUCGAACUAGCACCUGGCACCGCUCCCAUCUAUAAGAAACCUUAUAGAAUGGCACCCUCAGAAUUGGUAGAACUGAAGAAGCAGAUAAAGGAGCUAUUGGACAAAGGAUUUAUUCGAGCCAGCUCCUCACCAUGGGGUUCACCAGUGUUGUUCGCCAAGAAAAAGGAUGGGACACUGAGACUAUGUAUAGACUAUCAAGCUCUCAAUAUGGUCACCAUCAAAAACAAAUAUCCGAUGCCACGGAUAAAUGAUUUGUUUGACCAACUCGCGCAGGCCAAAGUGUUCUCAAAAAUUAAUUUAAGAUCGGGAUAUCAUCAACUGAAAGUACGGACUGAAAAUAUCCCUAAGACAGCAUUCACUUCCAGAUAUGGAUUAUAUGAGUUCACAGUAAUGCCAUUUGGAUUAACGAACGCCCCCGCAUAUUUCGUCCACCUCAUGAACAAAGUAUUUAUGAAGUUUAUGGACAAAUUUGUUGUGGUGUUCAUCGACGAUAUUCUGGUAUAUUCAAGGACACCGGAAGAGCAUGCUGAGCAUCUCAUAAUUGUUCUGGGAGAAUUAAGGAAACAUUAGUUGUACGCCAAAUUUCGCAAGUGUGAAUUUUGGCUAAGGCAAGUUGGUUUCCUAGGCCAUAUAUUAACCCAAGAAGGCGUGGCCGUAGACCCAGAAAAGGUCAAAGCCAUACUUGACUGGAAGCCACCAGCCAACGUGACAGAUGUGCGGAGUUUCCUGGGAAUGGCCGGAUAUUACCGGAGAUUUAUUGAAGGAUUCUCCACUGUGGCAAAACCAAUGACACAAUUGCUCAAGAAGGACAAGAAGUUUGUAUGGACGGAAGCAUGCGAGAAAAGCUUCCAAGAACUCAAGAAGAAACUAACAACAGCACCAGUUUUGACCGUGCCAGACAUACACAAGAGUUUUGAAGUGUAUUGUGACGCAUCUCGUAAAGGUCUCGAAUGUGUACUGAUGCAGGAUGGCAAAGUUGUCGCGUAUGCUUCCCGGCAACUACGGAAGCAUGAGGAAAAUUAUCCAACUCAUGACUUGGAGCUAGCAGCGGUCAUCCAUGCACUCAAGGAAUGGAGGCACUUUCUGUUGGGUAAUCGUUGUGAAAUAUAUACGGACCAUAAGAGCCUUAAAUAUAUUUUCACCCAACCAGAGCUAAAUUUACGCCAACGACGCUGGUUGGAAUUGGUCAAGGACUAUGAUGUCGGUAUUCACUAUCAUCCAGGGAAGGCCAAUGUAGUGGCAGAUGCCCUUAGUCGGAACCCCAGCCCGGGCAACGACAGCCCACAAAACUUGAGACCUGAGUUUCAGCAGGAGUUCGUUAAACUCAACAUGGUGUUGGUCUCUGAAGGCACCGUAUCGAAUCUGGAGAUACAUCCCACCCUAAUGGAACAAAUUAAGAAGGCUCAGCAAGGGCACCCCAGCAUCGAAGGAAUAAAGAAAAAAAUGAGUCUUGGCAAGGCUUCAGAGUUCGUCACAGACAAUGAAGGAAUAUUAUGGUACGGGGACAGACUUUGCGUACCUAACAUUGAGGAACUCAAGCAACAAGUCCUAACCGAAAGCCACACCGCUCCAUACUCAAUCCACCCUGGAGGAACCAAAAUGUAUAAAGACAUUCAGGAAAGAUUUUGGUGGCACGGUAUGAAAAGGGAUAUAGCCGCAUUUAUUGCUUGUUGCGAUUCAUGUCAGUGCAUCAAGGCCGAGCAUCAAAAGCCAGCAGGGCUACUCCAGCCAAACAAGAUACCGGAGUGGAAAUGGGAUGAAAUAGGAAUGGACUUCAUCGUCGGACUACCUCGAUCGCAACGCGGAAAUGACGCCAUAUGGGUCAUCACAGAUAGGCUAACUAAGGUAGCCCAUUUCAUCCCCGUGAAGACAACCUACUCCACACAAAGGCUAGCCAAGCUUUAUCUCUCCCGUAUAGUCUGUCUGCAUGGAUUCCCAAAGACUAUAAUAUCAGACCGAGGCACUCAAUUUGUCUCUAAAUUUUGGGAUCACCUGCAACAAGCUCUGGGCACGAAACUAGCUUUCAGUACAGCGUACCACCCUCAGACUGAUGGACAAACGGAACGCGUAAACCAAAUCUUGGAGGACAUGCUGAGAGCCUGUGUGCUCACCUAUGGAUCCAGUUGGGAAGAAAGUUUGUCGUAUGCCGAGUUUGCUUACAACAACAGUUACCAGGCCAGCCUGCAAAUGGCACCCUUUGAAGCAUUGUACGGACGGAGGUGUCGUACCCCAUUGAAUUGGUCAGAAACAGGUGACAGUCGUAUCUUCGGCCCAGACAUGCUCAAGGAGGCCGAGGAGAAGGUUAAACAGAUCAGGGACAGACUCAAGACCGCUCAAAGCCGACAAAAGAGCUAUUACGAUCAAAAACAUCGUGAGGUCAGCUUUGAACCCGGUGACUCCGUAUAUCUACGAGUAUCUCCUAUGAGGGGCCUGCAACGGUUCAAAAUUAAGGGGAAGCUAGCCCCGAGAUUUAUUGGACCAUUCUGUGUGAUUGCACCAAGAGGCACAGUAGCCUACCAACUAGACCUACCCAAGGAGCUGUCAGACGUCCACGACGUGUUCCACGUCUCACAGUUGAGGAAAUGUAUGAGUAACCCGGAAAAGCAUGUGUCUCAUGAGAGCAUUGAUGUGCAACCAGAUCUCACCUACAGAGAACGGCCAGUAAAGAUAUUGGAAGAGUCUGAACGGAGGACCCGACAGAAAACAACUAAAUUUUUCAAAGUCCAGUGGAGCAACCACACCGAGGAUGAAGCUACAUGGGAAAGAGAAGAUUUUCUUCAGCCAGAGUAUCCAUAUCUAUUUGAGGAUCAGCAGUAAUCUCGAGGACGAGUUUUUUCCUAAGGGGGUAGGUGUUGUGACACCCAAAAUUUUUAUUGGAUUUUUUCAAACUUUUAUUUUUAUUUUGAGGAGGGUACUUAAAACUUUCUUCUAAAGAACCCACCCUCUCAAAAACUUUAUUUUAUGGCAAGUGUUUUAUUUGGAUUCACCCAAGACUUGAUUUUGGUCUUGGAGGUUUUCCCUUUUUACUUGGACUCAAAACCAAAUGCUUUUCACUUGGGAAAAUUUCUUUUGAAAAAUCCUUUAAAUAGCCCUAUGGCAUUUUGAAGUGAUCUUCUCCCCUUUUCAAAAAUCCCUCUUGCCAUGACCUAAGGGGAAAUCCACUGCCAUAACCUUUUUCCCAUCUUUGGAUCAUGUUAUACCUCAAAUCCAGCAAGUUGAACCACCCCAUAUUUUUGUUUCCAUUUAUUUUCCCAUCAAAAACAAUUUCUGCCUUCUAUCUUGAUCCUUGGAGAUUUACAAAGGAGCUACCCUUUCUGCUUUGAGUUUUGUCUCCAAACCAAUUUCCCUAGCUAGUCCUUUGAGCCCUCAACCAAGAUCCAUGAAGAUCCACUGGUCUCCAGUUCAAAUUUUUCAAACUACACUUGCUGCAAGUUUGGACCAGAUUUGCCAAAUUUGAUGAAAUUCAUUUGAAUCCUCCUCCUAAAAAUCUGAGAAAAAUCAGGCAGCCCCUGGGUGCAUUGAGAGGUCACCUCACGAAAUCCCAACUCCAGGAAAAAAAUUCUUCAUGCCAAAUCAUUUCGUCGAACACGUACUGGACACUAUUGCUGUCAUGUUCAGUUAAGUUCAGAGAACAGUUUCAGUGCACUGUCGUUUUCUUCAGUGUUCGUUGUCCAUCUCGCCAGAGUCGCUGUGGCGCCUUGCUCCCCGUCCCCUCCCCCUUGUCCUCUGCACCGCACGAGCGCCUGGAAGGUUGCGGGCGUCGGCGACGAGCAGGAGGAGGUGCGUCGCCCCGUGACCGACGGCAGCGAUGGCUUUGCGGCCGCCAGAGAGAGGCGCAGCGCAGACGGCGCCGUCCAGCGCCGCCCAAGCCACUGGAGGCCGCCGCGUGGCCCUCCACUCCCCCGUGCGUGCUGCCACCCUCGUCGUGAACCGCUAGGCCCGGAGCGCGCUCUCUGCCGCCGCCGUGCCCGUACGGCCACCCCGUCGAGGACCGGCGCCAUUACGCCAAGACCGACCAAGAUUAGCGGGGGAACGGCACCAGUACACCUCCCUGAUGCUGCCUGGCCACUUAAGCUCCCUGCCAAGCCAUUGCCUCACCGUAAUUGCUCGCCGGAGCGAUCCCGUUCACGGCCACCCCCUCGAACCGCCUAUAAAUAGAGGCCCCGAGCUCCAACUCGAACCCACACCACCUCUGCACUCCACCUAGACCACGCCUAGCCACUGGAAGAGCCCCGAGGGAGCUUUCUUGCCCAGCUCCGGCCGCCGCGACCCGCCACGGGAUCCAGCUCGAUUCGCUCCCGUGCGUGCACCUCUAACCCCCAACUAUUGCCAGUAGCUCUCUUAUGCAUCCACUCUCCUGACCCGCGCUACAAUUCGGAGUUUGCAGCAACCACCGGAGUUCUCCACCAUCGCCCGAGCCGCCGUCCGCCGGAGAAAGUGUCGCCGUCGACGUGGUGCUCUCCGACGACCAAGUCCACCACCCACCGACGCGGAAGAACACGCUGAAACUCUUGGUACACUCCGAUCUCCCUGUCUCGCCGUGGUUCAACGCCGGCGACCACCGCAGUCUUCGGGCGCCGGCGAGGUUUUCAAAACUGACAUGUGGACCCCCCACGUCAGCCUCUCUUCUUUCUCUCCCUCGAAACGCUUUCUGUUGGCGCCUUCGGGCAGAAUACGCUUUCCCUUUGGGCUGACGUCUUUCCCUCCGAACCGUUUUCUGUUUUAGCAGUUAAGUCCCUGGAUCUUUUCUGUUUCAUCACAGAUUGGUCCCUGGACUAAAACCCUUAUAACUUUUUAACAAAAGAUGAUUUUUGAGUGAUUCUUUUUCUGUCAGUCUUGUAUUUUUGUCUAGUUUUUUAUAGUAUUUAUUUGGAAAAUGUUUGGGACAACUUUUAUGCACGCAUUGAUUUUCACGUUAGUAUACGUUUUCGCUAUACCGUAGGUUCCGGAAGAGGUGACGGAGCCGCGAACUUCGCCGAGCUAGACUCCGACUUCUCCGAACUAGGCAAGCAUGUUUGAACCUUUGAUAUGAUGGGUGUUUUGCAUGUUGCUUGAAUGGUUUGUGCAUGGCAUAUGAGCAUCGGUGAGUAUCUCGUUGCAUGUAAGGCAACUACCCGUGUGCUCCAAAGUUACGGUGAUCUCUGAUGAGAGAUUGCCUAGUCAUGUGGUGACAUGAAAGGCAGUAAGGUGGUAUUGUUGUAGCAUGCCAGCCUUAUGAUGUCCGAUAAACUCCGAUGUUAACGUGGACUGAGUCACGUUAUCAUUCUUCCCCUUUCCGUGCCGCCACAUGUUUUCUGCCAAGAAUACGGUUUAGUAAGUUGGUAACCUCUUUCCGUGUACACACCAAAUAGAGGGGCCGGGAUGAGGGUUCCAUGGCCCUGGAUUAAAGCCAGUCAUCCGGUCAGGGGGCAUGGGUGUUUCAGGUUGGGACCGAGAGGGGGGGGCACCCCCUUAGAGCGCGCGUAUAUAAAUUUGAUCCCAUGCUACGCGAGGUUGUAACCUCCCCGUCUCAAGGUUUUUCUUGAACGUUGCCGAGGGUGAUUCCUGGCUUCGGAAUGUUGAAUGGGUGUGUACUGGUUAGAUGUGUUUCUUCCAAAACACCGUAAACGGAACUAGUCCCCGUGACUACUGAAAUCCGUUGGCUGUGGUUAAAGUACAAACUCUGCAGAGUCAAAUCCUUCCGAGUCAUCGUAUCUAUGGUCAAGGAUCAUGGCCAGUAUACCCAUAUCUAUGUCAAUCCUCGUGGUAAAAUCCCCGGUGAACAGGCUUGAGUGGUAAACCCAGUUUAAUUGUUAUUCCUGUGGAUGGACUAACUCUUCUUACUUAUUUCGUACUUGAUGUGAUUAUAUUUUUGAGCUACUGAAUUAUUAAGUUAUGAUAUAAGCCCUUUAUGUGAUGUCGCUCAAACGUCCGACUGUGGCACUCUUGUUACUCUACCUUUGAUAUAAGCCCUUUAUGUGAUGUCGCUCAGACGUCCGACUGUGGCAUGCUUGUCAUUUACUUUCAAUAUAAGCCCUUUAUGUGAUGUCGCUCAGACAUCCGACUGUGGCAUGCACCGUCAUUUAUAUUAUGUUAUAAGCCCUUUAUGUGGUGUCGCCUUGACGCCCGACUGUGGCAUUGUUAUUUCCUUUGUUUUUUCCUCUCGAGGAGUCAUUCAGACACUCGUUUGGCACUCAGUAUUAGUUUGAGAUUUUGGGAGGACUACCGCCCGACUUCUCCUUGUUUUUCCCAUGCAUUAUUAUCUCGUUGUCUGAGUGCACUUGUUAAUCUGUUCCUAUGCAUCAUGUUUACAUUUUUUAUAUCUUAUGUCCGAACUGUCUUGCGAGUACUUUCAUAGUACUCACCUGGCUUGUUGAUUUGGCCAGAUGUUGACGAAGGCGAUCUCAUGGAUGAAGAGUUUGAUAGUGAGUCCGAUGCCUAGAGGAAUCCCAGUGAGUCCCGUGCGAUCCUGGAUUUUGGUCACUUGUAUCAUAUACGCUUCCGCCACCCACAAUAAAUAUCCUCGAGCCUCACUCUGAUGCUCGAAGAGCUGUUAGUUUUCAGGAGUCAUAUCUCCCACUUCGCUGUGAUAUAUCCACCACCGCUUUUGUCGUGAGUUAGUAGUUAUGCCACCCUAUCCGCCGUUAUGUUUUAUCGGCGCGCUUGUAAUAAAUUGUUGAGCAGUCUCCGCUCAACUUUGUAUUAUACUCAGUACUGCUGGUAUUUUUCUUCUGUGAUCAAGAUUUUGUCUACUAGUAAGAAGGGAUUCUUCUUUACUGGUCCGUAAAAGGGAUCGGUCUCUCAAUAAAUAUUUUUUGGAAAACCGGUCGUGACACCUAUGGGUUUGAGAACUAUGUAGACAUGACCGAGACACAUCUCCGUUCAAUAACCAAUAGCGGAAACUGAAUGCUCAUAUUGGCUCCUACAUAUUCUAGGAAGAUCUUUAUCGGUCAAACCGCAUAACAACAUGCGUCAUUCCCUUUGUCAUCGGUAUGUUACUUGCCCGAGAUUCGAUUGUCGGUAUCCUCAUACCUAGUUCAAUCUCGUUACCGGCAAGUCUCUUUACUCGUUUCGUAAUGCAUCAUCCCGCAACUAACUCAUUAGUCACAUUGCUUGCAAGGCUUAUAGUGAUGUGCAGUACCGAGAGGGCCAAGAGAUACCUCUCCGAUACAUGGAGUGACAAAUCCUAAUCUUGACCUAUGCCAACUCAACAAACACCUUUGGAGACACCUGUAGAGCAUCUUUAUAAUCACCCAGUUACGUUGUGACGUUUGAUAGCACACAAAGUGUUCCUCCGGUAUUCGGGAGUUGCAUAAUCUCAUAGUCAGAGGAAUAUGUAUAAGUCAUGAAGAAAGCAAUAGCAAUAAAACUAAACGAUCAUUAUGCUAAGCUAACAGAUGGGUCUUGUCCAUCACAUCAUUCUCUAAUGAUGUGAUCCCGUUCAUCAAAUGACAACACAUGUCUAUGGUUAGGAAACUUAACCAUCUUUGAUUAACGAGCUAGUCAAGUAGAGGCAUACUAGGGACACUCUGUUUGUCUAUAUAUUCACACAUGUACUAAGUUUCCGGUUAAUACAAUUCUAGAAUGAAUAAUAAACAUUUAUCAUGAUAUAAGGAAAUAUAAAUAACAACUUUAUUAUUGCCUCUAGGGCAUAUUUCCUUCAUCAGUGAUGUCUACUACGCAACUUUAUUCUUGUAGACUCGUGUUGGGCCUCCAAGCGCAGAAUUUUCUAGGACAGUAGCAGUUUUCCCUCAAGUGGAUGACCUAAGGUUUAUCAAUCCGUGGGAGGUGUAGGAUGAAGAUGGUCUCUCUCAAACAACCCUGCAAUCAAAUACAAGAAAUCUCUUGUGUCCCCAACACACCCAAUACAAUGGCAAAUUGUAUAAAUGCACUAGUUCGGCGAAGAGAUGGUGAUAAAAGUGUAAUAUGGAUGGUAAAAGUAUAUUUUUAUAAUCUGAAUAAAUAAAAACAGCAAGGUAGCAAAUAGUAAACGGGCACAAAAACGGUAUUGCAAUGCUUGAAAAUGAGGCCUAGGGUCCGUACUUUCGCUAGUGCAAUCUCCCAACAAUGCUAAUAUAAUUGGAUCAUAUAACCACCCCUCAAAGUGCGAUGAAGAAUCACUCCAAAGUUCCUAUCUAGCAGAGAACUUAAGAAUAAAUUGUUUGCAGGGUAUGAAACCACCUCAAAGCUAUUCUUUCCGUUCGAUCUAUUCAAGUGUUCGUACUAAAAUAACACAAAGUUAUUCUUUCCGUUUGAUCUACCCUAGAGUUCGUACUAAAAAAACACCAAAGAAAAUUCAUAUUCAUAAUACUCAAUCCAACACAAAGAACUUCAAAGAGUGCCCCAAGAUUUCUACCAGAGAAACAAAGACAAGAACAUGCAUCAACCCCUAUGCAUAGAUUACCCCAAUGUCACCUCGGGAAUCCGCGAGUUGAGUGCCAAAACAUAUAUCAAGUGAAUCAAUACGAUACCCCAUUGUCACCACGAGUAUUAAACUGCAAGACAUAUAUCAAGUGUUCUCAAAUCCAUAAAAGUAUUCAACCCGAUAACAACGAAAUCUCAAAGGGAAAACUCAAUUCAUCACAACAAGAUAGAGAGGGGAAAACACCAUAUGAUCCGACUAUAUUAACAAAGCCCGCGAUACAUCAAGAUCGUGACAUCUCAAGAAUACGAGAGAGAGAGAGAGAGAGAGAGAGAGAGAGAGAGAGAUUAAACACAUAGCUACUGGUACAAACCCUCAGCCCCGAGGGUGGACUACUCCCUCCUCAUCGUGGUGGCCGCCAUGAUGAUGAAGAUGGACACCGGUGAUGAUUCCCCCCUCCGGCAGGGUGCCGGAAAAGGGUCUAGAUUGGUUUUUGGUGGCUACAGAGCCUUGCGGCGGCGGAACUUCUGAUCUCGGUUAAUCCCGAAGGGUUUUGGAAUAUUUGUGAAUUUAUAGGGUAAAGAGGGGGUGCGGGAGGCCACUGAGGUGGGCACAACCCACCUGGGCGCGCUUGGGCCCCCAGGUGCGCCCUUGUNNNNNNNNNNNNNNNNNNNNNNNNNNNNNNNNNNNNNNNNNNNNNNNNNNNNNNNNNNNNNNNNNNNNNNNNNNNNNNNNNNNNNNNNNNNNNNNNNNNNNNNNNNNNNNNNNNNNNNNNNNNNNNNNNNNNNNNNNNNNNNNNNNNNNNNNNNNNNNNNNNNNNNNNNNNNNNNNNNNNNNNNNNNNNNNNNNNNNNNNNNNNNNNNNNNNNNNNNNNNNNNNNNNNNNNNNNNNNNNNNNNNNNNNNNNNNNNNNNNNNNNNNNNCAGGUGCUGCUCUGGCCCAUCUUGAGUGUUCUGGUCCAUAAAAAAUCUCCAACAAGUUUCGCAGUGUUUGGACUCCGUUUGAUAUUAAUUUCCUGCGAUGUAAAAAACAAGCAAAAAAACAGCAACUGGCACUAGGCACUGGGUCAAUAGGUUAGUCCCAAAAAAUGAUAUAAAGUUGCUAUUAAAUGAUUGUAAAACAUCCAAGAAUGAUAAAAUAACAGCAUGAAUACCUCAUAAAUUAUAGAUACGUUGGAGACGAAUCAGCAUCCCCAAGCUUAAUUCCUACUCGUCCUCGAGUAGGUAAAUGAUAAAAGAAAUAAUUUAUGAAGUGUGAAUGCUAGCAAAGUGGACAAGUUUGAUCAAUGACAAUUUCAAUCACUUUUCCUAGCAUCAUAACAGCAAUUCUUUCUUAUAAAACUUAUCAUGUUAUAGUAGCAACCAAUUCACAUGUUAAGGUUCAAACAAUGAACUCUCUUGAAACUCAACAACCUAUGUUCUCAGUCACCAAGCAAUUGUAAUUCAACUUAUUCAACAGAGUUUAAGUAAGAGCUCCACAUACUCAACCAUCUUAUAGUCUUCUAUGAUUGCUAACACUCACCGCAUACACAUGAGCAAAACGUUUCAACCAGACACAUAGAAAGAUACGGGCUUAUUGUUUUGCCUCCCAACAUAUUCACCUCAAGGGUGAUGUCAACAAUAAUAACUCAUGCUACCCAUAUUCAACUGGACAUAUGUGCCUAGAUGUUUCUUCACCACAUGAUGCUUGCCAAAAGAGAAAAAUAAAAAGGAAUAGAUAGAAAAACUUUGACUCUUUGCAUAAAAGUAAAUACUGAGAAGUAAAAGAUAGGCCCUUCACAGAGGGAAGCAGAGGUUGUCACGCGCUUAUUUGUUUGUAUGCUCAACUCCUUAGUGCAAAAUAAUGUCACGUUAUAUUGCCCCUUAUGAUAGCAACCUUUAUUAUACAGUCUGUCUCUUUUAUUCUUUGCCCCCUUUCCUUCCCCCUUGUGCCAUUAUAUGGCAGGGGGUGCACCAAAGGGAGGAGCCGUAGGGCUGCCGCCACACCUAUUGGGGCGCCCUAGGGGCUGCCUCCUCCCCUCCCACACCUAUAUAUAUAUAUAUAUAUGUGGGGAGGGGUGCCACACAAUACACAGCUUAUCCCACGCCGUGUGUUGGCACCCCUCCGCCUCUAGUUUACACCUCCACUCUAGAUCAUUGUAGUGCUUAGGCGAAGCUCUGCGGGAUUGAUUCACCACCACCGUCACCAUGCCGUUGUGCUGACGGAACUCAUUUACUACCUCGCCCCGCUUGCUGGAUCAAGAUAGCGAGGACGACACCGAGUUGAACGUAUGCAAAACGCGGAGGUGCCGUGCGUUCGAUACUUGAUCGGGCGGAUCGCGAAGGUGUAUGACUGCAUCAACCGCGUUGAAUAAAGCUUAUGGUUUACGAGGGUACGUAGACACACUCUCCCCCUCCUUGCUAUGCAUCUCCAUGGAUACUUCAUUGCGUGUGCGUAGAAUUUUGUUUUGUUUUCCAUGCUAUGAUUCCCAACAACAGGCUAGGGUUCGAUUGGCUCCUAAGCGCAAAUGGAAUGUUGCUUUCGCUACCUGUGCAGUUGCGCUAUGGCAUGCACGGAAUGAUAGGGUUUUCCAUGAUAAUUUCUGGACGGAGCCAUACGUCAGGUUCUCUGUCGCUGAUUUGCUACGGCUAUGGAGUUACAGAGCCCGCAGGCAGCAGGAUAGGAGUGAUCUACUGGUCUGGGUGCAUGAUCUCGUUGGCUAAUUUUUUUCUUGUGACAAACAAGUUGUUGUAAUUUCCUUCUUUGCUACAAAUCCUUUUAUGUCCUCUACCCUCCCUCCUUCUAGGCUGCUUGUGGCCCUGCACCUUGGUGCAAUUCACAAGUCUCAUGUAAUUGACUUCGGUCUCCAGGCUUUGCCUAUUUUGAAAUAUAUAAGGUAGAACUCAUUCUACCUUUUAUUUUCAAAAAAAAUACUCGUUGGUUGCACCAUAGAAAGAAGCCGACUCUCCUUCUCAAGCAGGACAUCAAGUAAGCGUUCGAUUCAGUGUGCUAUGACUACAUUCUCUACCUCCUUCAACUGAGGGGCUUCCCUCAAGAAUCCGUAAUUGGAUCAUUGCCCUCCUAUCCCCCACCAAGUCGUGUGUGCUUCUCAACUGGGUCUCGGGUGACCCAAUUAGGCGUGGGAGGGGUCUCAUGCAAGUAGACCUGCACUUCCCCCUACUUUUUGUCCUCGCGACUGAGCCACUUCUGAGCCUUCUCGCCUUGGCCUCCGACAAGGGCAUCCUCCAUCAUCUUCCCGGCAAGGAUGCCACCUUUCGCAUCUCCAUUUACGUCGGUGAUGCAGUUGUUUUUUUGGCUCCAAUUAAAGAGGAAAUUAACGUUCUCUCUUGCAUCCUAAAUGACUUUGGACGGGUCACGGGGCUCAAGAUGAACUUCCACAAAUCUCUUGUGGCUCAUAUCCAUUGCCAAGAAAUUAACCUCAGUGUCAUCCUUCUUAGCUUGCCAGCCAAGAGAACCACUUUCCUUGUGUCUUAGUGGCGCCUUAAAAGAAUACAUUUUUAGCUUCUUGAAGAUAAGGUCACCGGCAAGCUACCUCCAUGGGAAGGGAAUCACUUCAAUCUAGUCGGUCGGGUUGCUCUAUUCAAGGCGGUCCUUUUUUAAAAGGAGGUUAAACCCCCGGCCUCUGCAUCAUAGUGAUGCUCACGGUCAUUUUUAUUAAUUAUUAAACGAAGUACAUAACAAAAGCAACCACAUCCGAACCAUCACAAGAUAUGAAAUAAACACUAUGGCUAACUUGAUUUAUGCAACAACGCCUUCAAGAAAGGAUAAACGUCCUCGCACCAUCAUCGUCACGUCCGGCCGAGACGGCUUAGACAAGGAUUAUUCAUCCUGCUUUGCAAGACCAGCCAAUGAAAACCAGCAUCCUUACCUCCCUAGCGAUCUACUAUAUCACUACACUUGACAUUUCCGGCCGAGAUGCUUGAGUUCAUCGACAAGAUCCAUAGAGCUUUCCUAUGGACUAACAGUGAUAAAUUUCAUGGUGGCAAAUGCAAAAUUAAUUGGGAGGUGGUUUGUCGCCCUACCAUCCUUGGCGGCUUAGGGGUGCUCCAUUUCGGCAAGUUCUCCCAUGCACUUCGUCUUAGAUGGCCAUGGCUUGAAUGGUCCACCUUGGAGAGGGCCUGGAUUGGCAUUGGCAAUCCAUGUGACGACAAGAACAUGGACCUCUUUUAUGCUCCCACUUGUGUUCAUGUCGGCAAUGGCCGGAAAGCGAGCUUUUGGAAUUCCCCUCGGGCGGAUAGGUUGUGGCCGAAACACAUGGUGCCCUUAGUUUUUUUUCAUCUCCAAUAUGAGAAAUUGUUGUGUUCAGGAUCCACUGCACAACAACAUUUGGGUGGAUCAAAUUGACACUUCUGGAGUUCUGGUAGUAUUUCUUUACAACACCUACAUGAAUUCAUCUUGCCUUGGCACUUGACCUCCCAAUUUCUUUUGAACGACCAAUAGCUUGACACCAUUACCUAGAAGGUGUCUGCCUCUAGGUGCUACUCUGCUACUUCGGCUUACAAAGCUCAAUUCCUAGGGUUGGUGUCCACCGACAUGAAAAUGAUAACCUGGAAAUUUUGGGCACCCCCUAAGUGCAAGAUUUUUGCAUGGCUCAUCACCCAAAACAGGGUUUGAACGGUGGAUAGACUUGCCAAGCGUGGCUGGCCCAACUGCGAUCAAUGUCCCUGUGCAACCACGCCUGAAGACGGUAGCACAUUGGACCUUCCAAUGCCGCUAUUUCACCCGGAUUUGGAACAUGAUUAAGGAUUGACUUGGUCUACACCUUUGGAUACUUCCCUAUGGAAUGAUUUGAAUGAUGGCAUGUCUUGGUGGAAUCACCUCAUCCAUCAAGACAGCUCUCGACGCAAAAGCGAUGACCUCCCUUGCCAUGCUAGUAACUUGGGAGUUAUGGAACAAGCGUAACAUGAGGGUUUUCAACAACAAGUAGUAGUCGCCCUCCCAGAUCAUCUUCUCGUGCAUACGUAAGGAAAACUGUUUUGUCGGUUGCCGUGGGGGCUAAGCACGUGGGUUACAUGCCGGAAGAGUAGGCCUUUGUUUUCCCUUUGGUCGCCUUCGGGUGAUUGGUUUGUAAAACUACACUCUUCUUAACUAAUGAAUGUGGAAAAUCUUUUUCCACUUCUAAAAGAAAAAAUCUCCAGGUAAUCGGACCUGGAUGGCAAGCUCGGCGAAAAAUGCACGCUAUAGAGCAGCUCGAUCGCAAGGGUCUUCUGCGAGGCCGAACGACCACAUCCCUUCGUUGCAUCACCUGGCAUGAAUCCGAAGCACAUAUUUAUUAAGAGCAUCUCCAGUAGAAGAUGCUUGGAGAUGUUAAAAUUUACAUCUCCAAAAGUUCUUUCUGCAUCUCCAAAAAAGUGCCAACUCCAACAGAAGAUUUAUACUUGAGAUGUAAAACAAUAACUCCAAUAGAAGAUGCAAAUGGAGAUGUAAAACUAUACUUCAACUACUACUUCAUUUGAAACCUAUACUUCAACUACUACUUCAUUUGAAACCUAUACUUCAAAUAUAGCAAAUUCAACUACUACUUCAUUUCAAGCAUAAUUAAACAUAGUUCUAAUUAAUAAGAACAUAGAAAACUCAACUACUACUAGUUCAACUACUACUAGUUCGAGGUACUACAUUCAUCUGCUACUACUACUAGUUCGAACUUCUACUCCUUGAACUACACCAAAGAUAAAACUACUCCUCGUCAUUGGAGCUCUCGAACUGCUCUCAGAACUCAUCUUUGUCCGGGUCGCCACAGCCUUCGUCCUCCUCCUCCAAGUCGCCCCAGUCCUCCUCCGAGGACUCGACGGGGAUCACCAUCGAGGGGCCGGCCUCGUUCUCCUUCUUCUUCUUCUGCUCGGCCUCGCGCUUCCAGAAGAACUCUUGCUCGGCCUGCACAUACUCCGGAUGCUCAUGCACGAACCUCGCUAUCGCCGCCUCGUCACUAUCGCCGGGACUGGCGACAAUUGCGGGCCUCUUCUUCUUCGUCGUCUUGUUCGUCGUGAUCUCCUCCAUGCGAAUGCCCCCCGGCAUGAGCAACUCCGCAUCCGCAUGGGUCCCGAUCUUCGGGAAGUUGAGGUCCUUCUUCGGCCUCCCGGCACGCCACACCGCCACGCCGUAGGCACAUGCGGCCUCGUGGAUGGUGGGGUAUGUGCCUAGCCAAAAGCGGCGGCCGGCGUCGCUGAACUCCACCCCGAAGUUGCCGGAGGGCUUCGACCUCACGCCGAAGAACCCCGUCUUGCCCCUCGGGGUCUUCUUCGGCGGCAUGGUGACGGCGGGGCGGUGCAGCGCGGCAUGAGGCGGCGGGGGGGUGGGGCGGGGUUGUGAGGUGCGGCGGCGGUGCGGGGCGGGGCGGGGCGGUGCCGCGAUGGGGCAGGCCAAAUCGGCGGCAGGGAGAAAAGAAGGAAAAAUCCGCCGAUUCGCGGCGUCAGGCAGGCGACAGCGGCGGAGGAGCGUCAGAACCGACAGUGGGGGCUGUCGUGGAAUUUUCACGUCAGAUGUCCUAGUGUGAGGACUUAGUCGUGAGGCCAACGCAUCUUUGUAGUAGCUUAAGAGGGGUUGGGCGGAAUCGAGAGACGCAACACAAGACAAGGAUUUAGACAGCUUCGGGCCCCGGGAAACAUCAUCCGGUAACAACCCUACAUGCUGUUUGAGGCUAAGUUUCAUUAUGAUCACGAGGGAGUCGCCGGCUUGGCCGGCUCUUUGUGUCUAGCCCUAGAGAUUGUUUCUCGCCCCUUGUCCCUCUUUGGGGUGCCCUGCCCCUCCUUAUAUAAGUUAGAGGGGCGGUUUACAUGCGGAGUCCUAGUAGGACUAGGACUAGUCUAUCUUUUCUUACAAGUUGAAUACAAGUCCGGGUCUUGCUCCCUCAUAAAGGAAAUAUUCGUCAUCCCUUUCUCCUUAAGCCGGCCCACCAGAGUAUAAGCCAGCCUGCUGGGCCUUGGGCCUUGUCGUCCGUCUGAUCCGCCCGCCGGGUCUCCAGUGAGUCACAAUGUCCAGGCGGGUUACCUGUGAAUCGCCAUGUUCGAGCGGAUCACCAGUGAGUCGCCAAGCUCUAGCCAGGUCUCUGGUGAGUCGCCAAGUCUGGUCGAGUCAUACCGCGGGGUAUAUCCCCGACAUUAGCCCCCAGUUUAAUUUGGAUUUAUCCAUGUUGAACUGAUCCUGCAAAAUAACUCAAGAACAAAUUUAACAGGUUGUGCUCCGGGUUAAAUAUUCUUGUAAGCCGGCACGUGAUCAUCCUUAAGUCCUUGACAUUUUCUCCUGGAAUAUCCGGGUCAAUAGGCCAGCUUCAUAAUCCGUUUGCUGACAUUGGCUCUUGUAAAGAAAUAUUAUAAGAAAUAAUCCAUUUGAGUCAGCCUUCAAUGCUCUGAUUUGACAAAAAUAUUGGUCUUGAAAUAUUCAACUGAUAUUCAGCCGGCUUAAAGAUGUAGAUCUUGCCGAUUUAUGAUUGCCAAAAUUGCCGGGUUAUAAAUAAAUGAUGCCGGGUCAUGAUUGUUGCAGACACCGGGUUAAUCUGGUCUGCUCCAAACUGAGAAUUUGAAGAUUUUUUCUCCCUUAUAUGCAUAUCACAUGUAGCCCCCAAGUGUCGGGUUGUCAUGCUUGGAGCAACCUGGGACUUGUAAUUGCCUUAUGCUCAUGAAAACUUCAACCAGUGUAGCCCCCAAGGGCCGGGUCAUUAUGCAAUAAUGAGCAGGGACUUUGUAGAUAUAACCAUGUAAACUUGAACAGCAACGUGUAGCCCCCAAGGGCCGGGUCAGUAAGAUAAUACUGAGCUGGGACUUUGUAUAUAAUUUAUUGAUAAUAACAUCAUAUAAUAUAAUCUCCACCAUGGGGCUUGAACCCACGUCCACAAGGUUAAGAGCUUUGUACUCUACCAACUGAGUAGUGGACCGUUCAAUAUAAUGGAUUAAUGCUUGUGUACCUUGAAUGUUUGACAGGAGCAAUUGGUAGCCCCCAAGGGCCGGCUCAUUACAAUGUGAUGAGUCGGGUCUUCAAUAAGUUGAGAAAAAAAUGACUUUGCAUUAGCCCCCAAGUGCCAUGGUGCAUGCUGGCAAUGACAUGGGACUUGCCUAUUUGAUGUAACCUCAACUUGAAUAAUAUAGCCUCCAAGUACCGGGUCGUAAGCCUGCAGCGACUCGGGACUAUUCCCUCCAUUGUAAAAUAAAUCAUAUACCUUGAUAAAAUAAUAGCCAUUGCGCUGAAGCGACUUUAAAGACCUCCAUCAUAAUAUUGAUAAUCAUAAUAAAAAUCCAGCCAUGUUGGCUAUUCAAGAUUUGAAUAAUAUAAUCUUAUCGGUUGACAAGUAGAUCCGAAGUUCAAAUACUCGGCGGCUCUUGGUCGAUGGCGACUUAAUGCGCAUUCAUUGUAAGCCAGAAUUUCAUAACCCGGCGGCUUAUAGCCUUUGAGAAAAUCAAGAAUUGAUAACCCUUUUGAGACACCAAUUUCAAUCUUUGAUGAUGGGCUUGAACUUAAUUAUUUAUGUAAGUCAUAGCUCUGUAAAUCCUGCACAGAGCUUAAACAACAUAUGCCUUGGCGACGUAACGUCAAAAGCCAGGGCGGGUAACCAUCCAAAUGUAGUCUUAUCCUGCACACAAGUAGAUCACAAGAACCCUGUGAUAUUGAAUUUUCACUGCCGGUUUAUGUGACUUGUGCAGUAAGGUUGAUAACCCAAUCUUUAGAAAUCAAGACUUCCAAAUGUUUAUGAUUGUCAUAUGAUGGCGACUUAUCAUCCAAAGUCAAGCCGGGUUAAUCGAAGCCACAUAUAUGCUUCAGAUAUGAACAAAAAGGGUCUCAAGACAAAAUCAAAGAUCGCUUUCAAAAAACUUAAGCCAAAUAGAAAGAAAAAUUGAGGCUUCUGAUUCGAAUACGAUCAGUAAACCGUUCCAAAGGGGUUAAGCUAGGAUUCGAAUACGAUCAUGUAGCCCCCAGUGGCUUUGGCGUUGCGCCGAUCAAGAAGGUACCGACAGCUAUGUUCUCCUUGGUUCGAUUACAACCUAUGUUUGAACAGGAAGCCCCCUAAUGAUCUUGAGAGUUUUUUAACGACUCUGAUUCAAAUACGAUCAAAGUCGGUUCCCAAAAGGGGUUGAGCUAUGAUUCGAAUACGAUCAAGAAGCCCCCUAGUGAGCUCGGCAGUGUGCCGAUCAAGAGGGUACCGACAGCUAUGUUCUCUUUGGUUCGAAUACGACCUAUGUUUGAACAGGAAGCCCCCUAGUGAUCAUGAGAAUAUUUAACGACUCUGAUUCGAAUACGACCAGGGUCACAUCAAAAGGGUUAAGCUAAAUUCGAAUAUGAUCAGCUCCCAAUGGUCAUUAAAGCAGGGUACCUAUGUUUGGGUUGUGCUUUGUAACAGACUCCUUUUGGUCCCUUUAAUUUUUCCUGAGAACUCGAACUUUUGCGAGAGAUAAAUUCUUUUUGAACCGGAAAAACCGGAUAUUGAGAGUUUUAAAGUUUUGUGAUAAACAAAUUUACCUUGAACCGGAUUUUGAACCGGAUUUGAGAGCUUCAAAACUUUGUGGCAGAUAAAUUUCCCUUGAACCGGAUUUUAAACCAGAUAUUUAAGAGCUUCAGUGCUUUGUGGGAGAUGUCAAGUCUCUUGAGCCGGAUCUAAACCGGAAUCCUUCUUUUUAAGCCGGAAAUUUUCUGACGGCCUUUAAACUUUUCACCAAUAUGGCGGUAGCCUCCGGGACCGGGUUAUUUUUCCCUCCAAUGACCCAGAGUUCUUGAAUGCAUUGAAACCGACCAAUGCUGUCGAUUCAUAUCAUUGUAGCCCCCGAGUCUCAAGACGACUCGAGGAGUUGGCUUUGAGAUUCUCCAUAUUGACCAUAGCAUAAGGUGUAUAUCAUUGGUGUUGAUAGCGUGAUGUGAAUCCACAGAAGGUUGAAGUGACUGCGGCGGGUUAUAAAUGAUCCUGUAUGAGCCGUGCCAGCAACUCGGCCAAUGGUCCCUUCCAACUGGUUGUUUGAAGUUAACCAAACUGUAGUGGCGGCGACUUGUACACCUGCCCAUUUGAACCAUCCAGCGCAGACGGCGGCUGAUAAUACAUGAUAAUUUGCCUCCAAUUUUGUUGGAAGAAAAACCGGGCUUCCCAAGCAGUGACAGAUGAGUUGGUCACGACGUUGUAAACCGGUGUGGUCGGGCGAGUUAAUCGCCGGCGCGGUAAGCCGCGCGGAUGGGCGAAUCAACCACGUCGUGUUGAUGUAGUGGACAAUUGUCCUACACCAAAAACAUCGCAAGCCAGAGUAAUUGCUCUUUUUUAAAGAAAACAAUAUAUAAUAUAUAAAAAUUUACUGGAUUGAUUUCACCUGAUAUGUUAGGCCAGAAAAUAUCCACCAUGGAGUUGAUCAUCACCACGGUGAAGCUGAAAUCAAUCACGUCCGAGUCGGCCGCGGGAACAGAUAGACGGGCCGGCCGCGGCGUUGUAAGCCGGUGCGGUCGGGCGAGUCAAUCGCAGGAGCGAUAAGCCACGCGGACGCUGAGUUGGCCGCGGGGGCGGACGGGUAAGUUGUCCGUCUCAUUGCAAAGCGGCGCGUUGAUGUAGACCGGACCACAGGGGCGGUGGCUUGCGCCCACCUGUUGACCAGUAAGCGGUCGCAGAUGCCGUUGCAUGAUGAUGCUACCGCACACUCCAUGGAUACGGAAUUACACCACCUUUAUGAUGAAUCAUUGUCCUGCACAUAAAAGUGUACAUAGCAAAGCGAUUGUUUUUUGACAAAAAACAAUAUGCGCUUAAUAAAAUAACCUUAGACGGAUAUCACCUGAUUUGUUUGGAUGACCGAUGGAUAUCACCGGAGUCGGAGGCCACGGCGAGCGGGCUGAAGCCGAUUCAAAGCAGCUCGAGGCACGGCGGGUCUCAGCUCACGGCGGGUUGAGGUGUGGCGGUUCAAAGUCAUAGCGGGGGGACUCGCAGGCUCAGGCGAGGCCGUUUUGAAGAUGGUUGGCAGCGGCGCGGUGACUCGCCACGGUGCGCCGGAACAGCAGCAGCGCAGUGGGAGAAACAGCCGGUCUGUUGAUUUUGACCGUGAUGUGAAGCUCGCGGGGCGGCCACGAAGGCGCUGGCACGGAGUGGUUCCGAUGUACAAGACGCGCCACCACAAGGACGCACGUAGGAGAAGAUCAGAGAGGCAUCGAAGUUGGGUCCGCGGCGGCUCUGGAGAUGGCGAGUGUGCGGGAGGCAAGGCCGUGCUGGCCAGCAGAAAACGGCGAGGUGCCGGCGACUUAGCGUAAAGUGCGGAGGACUAGCGUAAAACCGCGGGUCAGAGGCGGCUCGGAGUUGAGUCCAUGUCCUGCCUCUGGUCGUUGUUGGUUUGACAAUUCCCUUUGAGUGCUCCUUUAAAAUUUCCUUCAUCCCACGUGGUGUCGUGCCAGGCAACAGCAUGGCCGGACUGAAAAUCCACUAGACUUUGAUUUUUAAUACUCCUAUAGAUCUUGGGGGCUGCAUGUGAGCUGACUAUUAAAACCUUCAAAUUCAUGCACGUACAGUGGCUGUACUAGUUGAUGCUACGUGCAGAAGGUAAGGUAAUCUAUCAGGCUUUGUUUUUUGCGUUGAUCAGCACUUGGACCCUUAAUCAACCGUUGGGUUGAUCCGGAGACUUCACAGGGCUGAAGCAAACUGUCUUGAUCGCCGUUGUACCAACAGAUGGCGCUCGUGACGCGUGUUUGGCUGUCUUUGAUCACCUCGGACUUGGACAGCUAUACAUGGAUCAGCAGAAGCGAUCUGGUGGAUCGGACACGGCGGCUAAAUUUGACAGCGGCACAGCAGAAAUUUGAGUCGGCCUCGGUGUACUGCUGCAGCAAAAACUAACCCGGACUCGACGGAUCAUCUAUUUGUUGCGGCGCUCACCAUGCCCCUAAUCUUUCUUGAAUUCAGACCUCGUACAAGUAUUAGAUCUGACUGCUCGCUUUGGAGACAAUGUAAAUCCUUCCGCGACGAUUCUUCUUCAUCCGAAGAAAUUGUCAACUUCUCAACCCCUGAAAAAGAUCCCUCCAAGAACUCAUCACCAUUGUGCGCAAGCCCCACGGUGGGCGCCAACUGUCCUGGAAUUGUCACGUCAGAUGUCCUAGUGUGAGGACUUAGUCGUGAGGCCAACGCAUCUUUGUAGUAGCUUGAGAGGGGUUGGGCGAAAUCGAGAGACGCAACACAAGACAAGGAUUUAGACAGCUUCGGGCCCCGGAAAACAUCAUCCGGUAACAACCCUACAUGUUGUUUGAGGCUAAGUCUCAUUAUGAUCACGAGGGAGUCGCCGGCUUGGCCGGCCCUUUGUGUCUAGCCCUAGAGAUUGUUUCUCGCCCCUUGUACCUCUUUGGGGUACCCUGCCCCUCCUUAUACAAGUUAGAGGGGCGGGUUACAUGCGGAGUCCUAGUAGGACUAGGACUAGUCUAUCUUUUCUUACAAGUUGAAUACAAGUCCGGGUCUUGCUCCCUCGUAAAUGAAAUAUUCGUCAUCCCUUUCUCCUUAAGCCGGCCCACCAGAGUAUAAGCCAGCCUGCUGGGCCUUGGGCCUUGUCGUCCGUCUGAUCCGCCCGCCGGGUCUCCAGUGAGUCACAAUGUCCAGGCGGGUUACCUAUGAAUCGUCAUGUUCGGGCGGAUCACCAAUGAGACGCCAAGCUCUAGCCAGGUCUCUGGUGAGUCGCCAAGUCUGGCCGGGUCAUACCGCGGGGUAUAUCCCCGACAGGGGCGAUGGCGGUGCGGCGGGAGGUGGGAGGAAGAAGGCAGGGAAAGUGAAAGAAAACGGCGGUUGGCAGCUGGCAAAUAUGGAGAUGUAUAUUUACACCGCAAAGUGCUGUAGUUAACAUCUUCGUGAGGCGGAGAUGUAAAUUUUUUUACAUCUACAUCAUCUGUUGGACUAGUAAUUUUUUCCUCCGGAGAUGUACUCUAAUGCAACGACAGGUUCGUGUGUCAUGUCACCACAUUUUUAUGUUGAACUGAACAAAAAUUUGCACGCGAGUCCCCACAUCUGUACUGAACUCACAGGCUUGCGGAACUCCAGCAUGCAUCCCUUUGAGUUGAGUUUUUUCAUGUACGAAUCUCGCAGCAAUUUUUACAUAAACUGUUUGCUUUUCCAAGGAAUCAGAAAUUCUAACGAAUCAAAGAGGCGCAAGCCUGAAGCAGUAAACGCAUUCUUUGGAAUAGUUGUCGAUCACAAACUCGGAUUUGAUUACCUACAUAAUCAAUUCGAUUGAACUUAAUUCAUGUGCCACGCGAUCGCUCGCUUGCGCUGUAAUAAUAUUCGCUGCGUUGUCUACGCACCACGUCGAUUUCUCUCCGUGCUAUGCCAGCUACUUCCUCCAUUCCUAAAUAUAAAAUUUUUUAGACAUUUCAAAUGGAUUACAACAUACGGAUGUAUGUUGACAUAUUUUAGAGUGUAGAUUCAUUCAUUUUGCUCCGUAUGUAGACACUUAUUGAAAUCUCUAGAAAGACUUGUAUUUAGAAACGGAGGGAGUACAUUCAGCACCGGACAGGACGGACCAAAGCAGUUCUCUCUAGCAAUUGCCUGGAGAAUCCAGGUACCAACAAGUUCCAGCUUCCCUAAGAAAACAAAAAAAACAAAAAAUAAUUCCAGCUUCCAAGCAGGGUCAGCAGUCCAUAACUGCCGCAUGCGCCACAUGACAGAAACCAGUACAGGCCACCUCACCUCAAGCGACAUACACAAUCCCGCUCCUAUAAGACUAGAGUACAUGAUCUCGAAAAAAAAAAGAGUACAUGACUACAUGGAGGAGAGCCACACAUGCUGCCAGACAGAAAAACAUCGACCAGACCGGGCACAUCAAUGGACGCACCGGUGGCGUCUGAGCAGGUUCGAGAAAUCCAGCCGCUGCACACAAGGACCAUCUCCUCAUCAGCUCCACGCUGCCAAACUCCUGCCUGCCAGCAGUAAUCAGCUUGAAGGAACGGAUGGGGGACGCAUCACCAGCUCAUGGAUACUCCUCCAUCUCUGCAAUUCAACCCAGUGCCAGCACCAGUACCCCCUGGUGAAAACAAAAAAAGGCUCUGCGCACCUGAAAUGCUGCACAACAUGUUUAUUACCCGUUAUUUGUCUUCCGCCGUCAAGACUGGACUGGCGCGCCACCGAAGCCACUGACAGGCGCAAUCUCGUUAAGGUGGAGGAAUCGUCUCCCAGCAACUUUGCUCUCUUCCCUGCCAGGAGCGUGCAUCUUCACUAUGUGGAGCAGUCGCUGCUCUUGACUUUUUAUUGAGGUCUUUGCACUGUCUGGUGCAUCAGAGCUGGCAUCUGGAUCCAGUGCAUUCGGUUCGCCUGGCUUUCCCAAUUCGGUAUCUCUACCAGAGUGCCGCUGAUGGUUCAUAUGGGGCCGCGUGGAACGCUUAUUGCGCUUGAUGCCUGUUUGGAUCACAUCCAUAGAUUUCAGUUUGGCCCCUUGAGGACUGCGAGUUGGCAGUCUCUUGGACCGUUGAAUCCCCUCUUCAUCUUCACUGCUCAAAGAAUACUCCGCUUGGUCUUCCGAUCGAAACUCUCCAUCGUACUCUGAAGUACUUGCCUUGGGUUGUUUUCGACUUCUAAGAUACUCCUCGUCAUAGACAGCUUCGCCCAUGAUAUCGUCAUCACUGUCAAAGUUCGUGUCGAUGUCCGAGACAUUCUCAACAAAGUCCGUUGUGUAUCUUUGAGAUCUUUUUCUUUGACGAGACCUAUAAUUUGAACAAUGCAUGUGCGUGUUUAUAUGCUGAUAUAAGCUUUGGCAGAGGAUCAGCUCAACAUCAAGAGUUAAAGGAGUUACCUACGAUCAAGGGUCUCAGCCUUUUCCUCACCACCACUCCCUUGGUAGCUAUAUGACUUCAGUGGAGAUUCUUCACGCCGUCCAUUACAUACAGGUGAGGGUCCAGCUAACGUACCAUUACUUGAUGCCUCUCGUGUUGGGACAAGUACUCCUCUGUUGGUAGUGGCAACGACCUGAACCGGGUUCUCACUUUUCCUGUCAAUAUAAGAGUACAGAAACUUGUGUCAUGAGUUUCGUUGUUUAUAAAAAAUCCUUUAAUGGAACUAUGGAGCGUAGAUGAUUCACCUACUUUAUUGCUUUUAGGGCCUCAUUUAUUGAACGGUCAUAAUCAUCUGCAUGGUAAGGAAAGAGUUUCUCGUUAGGAGAACAGUAAAUCUGUAUAUACCUUUGAUCUUGUUCCAAUGGGAACUAUGAAUACCCAAUGCAAAAAAUGGCAUGGAAAUUUUAUUUAGUCAAAAAGAUUUUUAUGUACAAUUGCAGUGGUAUCAUAACUUCAGUAGAGGGGUUUAUACAAGUUACUGGGAAUAGCUUGCUGACAUUUAUUAUUCAUCAAGUGCUGAGACAUUACAGAUACCUUUCUUAAAGCAUAUCAGUAAGAACAGCUAGUCAGCUACAGAAAGUGCAUCCCAACUUAACUAUUCUUCUGCGCAUAAUGAACUAGCGAGACAACAGAUUUACAACUAUGUAACUAAGCUUAGCAAGUUCAGACAUUAUUGACAUGACACUUAUGUGCACAGUAUUGCACAUAUGAAGGUGCGGAUGAAAGCCUUUAUAGAAGCUAGCCCUAAUUCAGGCCGCGCUCAACCAAAAUAAAGAUAAGAAUCCUAUUGCUAGGAAGUUGGCAAUUAGUUUCUGUUUGAUAGGCUACGAUUAGUUUAUGGUUGUUAAGGUACUCUACCCAUCCAAUGUACUGCCACAUGCCAUUUGAAGAUAGGCAAGAAUCAAUAAACAAAAGAAGGUCAUUCUCAUCCCUGAUCUCUUCUCUACCAAAGAAAGCUGUGCAGCCCUUCCAUCUUCUCGAUCAUUACGGUGAUGCUAAAGCAUGAAAUGCCAAUGAAACAUCUAAUGUGAAGGGUUGGCUAAAUGAACAAGAAACUAUAACAGCCGGUAAACACGUAAUGGAGGAAAUGCUACCAUAUUAGGACAACUAAUUAAUAGCAGUGUUAACUUUAGUCUUAAGCUUACCGAAAGUAUAGGUGACACGCUUUCUUUCACGAUGGGAGCGGCCAGAGGUGAAUCUAUCAAAGGUCAAGUAGCUAUUAAGGAGAAGGGCUUCUCUUUGUUGCUUUUUUAGCAGCUUCUCCUUCUUCUGCAAGAGGAUUUCUCACACGUUAAAUAGGCAGUUAUUCUACUCUAGGCAGAUAAUUUGAACUCCUUUAGAGGAGCAGUUGAAUACCUUGUGAGUCUUUUCCAUCUCUGGGAGAUAAUUGAGCUUCAACUUCUUUCCAAGUGAGACCUCUGUCCUGUUACUACUUGAAAAGAGUUUUUCCUACGUAUAAGAUUGACAGAAAAUAACUAAUAUCAGUGAACUUCCAUAGAAUUUUCGUAAGAGUAAGAGAUCUAACACUACUUCACAAAAUCUUUUAUGCCAUUUGAUGCCAAAAGUUCACAUUUUUAUUUGGGUAAGCUCUUCCGGUGCGUCUCUCACUAAAGUCAGUAACCUUUGAUGUACUUGGGGACCUUAGUUAUCUCUGCCCACAGCAUUAGAUGGUUGCAGAUGUCGGAAUAUUACAUAGGGCAUUGUAAGGUGGACACCUGACAGAGCACACUUUUGCACAUGCUCGUAUCCUCCCUCCCUCUCAGUUAUGUUGCACAACAUGCACCAACAAAUAGUUAAAUACUGGAGUACAUGUUAAUGUUAUCUAAAUUGGUUCUGGAAGGCCCUUGAUCCAUUCUGUCAUUAAUUUAAUCUUGUCGCGAACAUGUCACACAAGAAUCAAAACCAGCAAUAUCUAAGAAAAGCAAGCCCAAGUGUGAAUAGUUGCCACCAAGCUACUAAUGAUACACAAGCACAGAGAUUGACCAAUUAAUUGAUCCUGUUUCCAUGCAUGCUCAAUAUGCUUUUCAGAGAAAAUCAUGCCAGUACCAUGCAUCAGUAGCAACAGAAGAUGUCAAAUGAUGCUCACAGAAAGCGCAUUUGCCUUAUGGGUGCUACUGUGUGCGUGUAAGUGUGUCUGAUUCAACUCCAUUCAGAGGAACAAUUCCAGGACUCCAUUCAGUAACAGGGGACCUAAAAAACGCAUAUGAUUAACUCGAAAGUUUAAACUUACUGCUGCUGCUUCAAAUUCAACAAAGUUUGUCGCGACAGUCUCCCACUGAUAGGAUACAACUGGAACACCUAAGAACCCCUUUCGUUUAGAUUUUCUUGUUUGCUCCUUCACAUACUCCACUUGUCUAAUUUCACGAUAUAAUCGAUGCCCGAGAAUCGGAUCUUCAUCAUACCUAUAGUGCAUUAGUUGAUUAGAAUUGACCUUGGCCACAACAAGGUGCUUAAGAUUCAUUUCAGAAUUAAAAGUUGUCUUUUACCCACCAGUAUGAGAUUCCAUGGGAAUCUCCCCCAAUUCGUUCUUUGCAGAAAUCACGGAGCUGAUAACCCUUUUUUAGACAACUAUCUACGAAGAUCCGAACAUCCUCUUGCUGCAAAAUAACUGGAUCCUAUCAGUUAAUAUGUCAACAAUUAUUUAUCAAUCUUGAAGCACUCAUGACCAGAAAACUUAAGGAUGACAUUUGCAGCUAGUUGUAGACAUCUCUUAACAAUUACAAACAUGAAGAUAUUGGGAGCAUUUACAUGCUCACAGAGGUGUUGUACACACAUGGGAGAUACAACAAAACACUUCCUGGGCCUUGCUAGGAACCACAUAUUUCAUUCACACAGGAUUACAUAAAAAAUAUGUCAUUAAAUCCAUUACCACUCACAGUUUAACAUGUGGAGAUGAAAUAUGUCCAGAAAGAGAUGUUUAAAAUAGCAGGCAAUUGAUGCCACUGUUCUAAACAGCGGUUAGUGAACAUUCAGAGAAUCACUAAUCGCUUAUGCAGAUUAGCAGACUCGAUAUGCAAUUGAGUAAUGAAUACUAAUCACUGAUCAUAUGUUUAGAUAACUGUAAGUUGCAUGCCCAGACCUAUCACUAGGCUGCAAACAUAUGCAUUAUUAAAUUUGACUUUUGCAAGUACAUUAGGCAGCUUUUAAUAACAUAUACAAGCAUUCCUAGGUAACUUGACCACAGAUAUUACUGACUAUUUAGCAGGAGGCCAACUACAAGUAACCUUUCAUAGUUUAAAUGCAGACGAAGUACCAACAUUCGUAUGUUAACAUUAGCUGCUAGAUAAACAACCUAGAAUGUGGGUUUUGUUUCAUAUGAUAACAUAACACUGUGAGGUCACCACUAUCACUGCAAAUGUUCCACACGAAAAUUAGGGGCACACACCUCACAACGUAUGUCACAUAUUGCUUUCAGGAUCAUUAAUCGAGUCGCUGGCUCAAGUUCCUUGUACGUUUCAAUUUCCGCUCUGAGAAACGAAUAACAGUAAGCCAUCCAAUAUUCAAUUGUAGCAAGGGAUUCAGGUCAGGAAUUACUUGCUUAAAGAACUCACCCAUGUGAGGCAACGAUUGGUAGAUUGCCUUCUGCAACCUGAAGAUCAGACCUUUUAUUUAGCUCAUUAAGCAAACACAGUACUACCCCUAGUACAAAAUUAUUCUUGACAAUGAAAAAUCGCAUACCAGAUGCCACCAGUCCUUCAAUUUUCUACAUAACACUGUCACCCAUUUUCCGUCUGCCAUGGACAUUCGAGCUACAGGAGGAAUCGACUGCAAAAUGCAAAUAAGGAGCAUCAAGAAGCUAUGUAUAAUAUUUGACAAGCUUAUCAAUUAUCAUUUGAAUACUGGUUCUAAGUAAGAGAAUGUGUGAUGUUGUUGCAACAUUCCCAACAUCAUGCUCACCCUUAAUAGCGGCACAUGCAAGUAUUCCAACGUGCCAUUAGGCACUAGGAUGGCGUCCUCCAGCUCCUCCGCCGUGAACUCCACCGCGAUGUUCAGCAAUGGCCGGAACACCUGCAGCUCCGGAGCAGAGCAACCACGCCGAAGGUCAAACUCCAAAUGCUAAACCCUAAACCCUAGAGGAGAAGGCCUAGGCAGCGGAAUACGAUCGGGAGCGCUCACCUGGAGGAAGUUGAGGACGGAGGCGAGCUCCCACAUGCACCGCAGCCUCCACCGCGGCAGCUCGCCGGGGUCCGCGGGCUCCGCGACCAGCGGCGUCACCACGCGGCAUUGCGGCGCCUCCGGCUCCGCCUCCUCGCGCUCCUCCUCCGCGAUCUUCCUCGGGCGGCCCGGGCCCGGCCGCCGCGGCGGGGGCGCGGGCGGCGCGAGGGGGCGGCUGCACGCGCGCGGCGGGCGCGUCCUCCUCGCCGGCGGCGCCGCGGCCUCCGCCUCCGCGGGCGGGGGUUCGUGCGGGGGAUCCUGCUCCGGCGGCGAGGAGGCGGCCAUCUCCGGCGAGAUUUUCGCGGCGGAGCGUCGGAUCGGCGGCGAGGGGCAGGGUCGGGAGGGGAGGGGGCAGGGCCGGUCACGGGCUCACGGGGAAAAGGGGAGGAGUGAGGGGGCAGAAAGGGNNNNNNNNNNNNNNNNNNNNNNNNNNNNNNNNNNNNNNNNNNNNNNNNNNNNNNNNNNNNNNNNNNNNNNNNNNNNNNNNNNNNNNNNNNNNNNNNNNNNNNNNNNNNNNNNNNNNNNNNNNNNNNNNNNNNNNNNNNNNNNNNNNNNNNNNNNNNNNNNNNNNNNNNNNNNNNNNNNNNNNNNNNNNNNNNNNNNNNNNNNNNNNNNNNNNNNNNNNNNNNNNNNNNNNNNNNNNNNNNNNNNNNNNNNNNNNNNNNNNNNNNNNNNNNNNNNNNNNNNNNNNNNNNNNNNNNNNNNNNNNNNNNNNNNNNNNNNNNNNNNNNNNNNNNNCCGGACCGGGUCAUCAUGGCUCAAUCAUCACGCGGUGACAUAGAUAUGGUGAUCCCAUAAACCAAGUCUAGUGCUACUGCUGCUGCCCAGGGAACAAGCCACAAAUCUUCAAAACCUGGAAAGACAAAUGAACAUGUCAUUAAGUUUACGCUUUGAUUCGAAAAGCAGAGAAAAAAAGCCCAAAAUGAUAGUAAACUGUAAAUCCAAGCCGUGUUGGAGUCCGUCCAGCCGACCCAAAUGGACAAAAGGCAGGCAAGAUUCAUGUUCGAAUGAGUCGCCGCGUUGGAGUUGGUCGUAGGAACGAUUGUCAGCUAUAGAGAUCACUAAAAUACAUGAGGAACAGUCUUGAAUCUCUGUGGGAUGGGCGGCGGCGGUACCAGGCGCGUCGUGUCCUCCUUGGAGGCGCCGCCUGGGGAAGUUUGGUGCUUUGGUGUGUGCAGCAGUUGCAGGUGGCGUCUCUUAUGUGCAGGUUUCAGAUCCAGCGACAAGUAGCUUUGCGGUGGCAUUUAGCAAUGCCCUCGAGCCUUGGCGGAAGGGGAUUGGGUUCCCCUUCCCCUGUGACCGCAUCGCUGCAAGUGCCAAGGUUCCUCUUCAACUCGUUCGUCUGUACCUCGGUCCUAAUUUCGCCAUGUGGCUUGGCAGCUCCUUUCUUUCGACGACUCUCCCGGCGGCUUACCCUCUUUCAUCGACAUGUGCCUUGGCAGCUCCUUCCUUUCGGCGACUCUCCCGGUGGCUUACGCUCUCAGUGUAUGCAGUGUAGCUUGUUGUGUGUGUGUGUGUGUGUCGGCAAACAAGCAAACAAGCACACACGAGAAUAUUCACCCCACGCUAUUGCUCCCCGGCAACGGCGCCAGAAAAAGGUCUUGAUAACCCAAAAGUAUAAGGAAUCGUUUGUAGCCUUCUUGGAUAAAUAAGAGUGUCGAACCCAACGAGGAGCUAAAGGCAGACAAAUAUUCCCUCAAGUUCUAUCGACCACCGAUACAACUCUACGUACACUUGACGUUUGCUUUACCUAAAACAAGUAUGAAACUAUUUUGCAAGAAUAAAACUAUGAGUACUUUGCGAGAAUAAAAUUACGAAUAAAUUGCAAGGUAAUAAAAGUGGAUAGCUUUUGUCAACAAGAAAGUCAUUUGUCCUAGGCAAUCGAUAACAAGUACCGGUAAUCAUUCUUGCAAUUUUAUAUGAGGAAGAGGCAUGAGCUAACAUACUUUCUCUACUUGGAUCAUAUGCACUUAUGAUUGGACCCCUAGCAAGCAUCCGCAACUACUAAAGAUCAUUAAGGUCACGAAACCCAACCAUAGCAUUAAGUAUCAAGUCCUCUUUACUCCCAUACGCCAUAACCCACUUAUCUGCGUUUAGGCUGCUGUCACCCCCGCAACACCGACAAUAAGCAAACCAUGAACAUAUUGCAACACCCUACAGCGAGGACCCCUCACUUUUGCGCGAGAACGGAGGGCACCGUAGGACAGCAUCAUAAAUAAAAUAUACAAUCAUACCAACCAAGAUCACGAUUAACCCACAGAACAAAACGGAUCUACUCAAACAUCAUAAGAUAACCAUAGAUCAUUGCGAAAUAAUAUAUGGAGUUGAGCACCAUGUUUAAAUAGAGAUUACAGCAGGGGGAAGGGGUGUUACACCGCUGCAUAGAGGGUGAGAAAGUUGGUGUUGACGGAUGUAGAUUGCCGUCACGAUCCUAGCCCCGGCGGCACUCCGGCGCCACCGGGAGAGGGGGGGAGAGAGCCCCCCUCCUUCUUCUUCUUCCUUGGCCUCCCCCUAGAUGGGAGGAGAGUUCCCCCUCUGGUCCAUGGUCUCCAUGGUGGCGGAGGGGCAGGAGCCCCUCCGAGAUUGGAUCUCCCUCUCUGUUCCCCUCUGUUUUGCGUUCUCAGAUCUGGUCGAAAACCGUUUCUUAUAUUCCGGGAGAUCCGUAACUCCGACUGCGCUGAGAUUUUAAGACGAUUUUUUCCAGAUAUAAGCUUCCUUGCACCCGAAGUAGAGCGCCAACCGACGUACGAGGUGAGCACAACCCACCACCGCGAGCCAGGCUUCUCUGGCGCGCCGUGGUGUCUUCUGGGCUGUGUGGGCCUCCGUUUGCGGUGAUUCCAACUCCAAAAAUCACAUAUAUUCCAAAAUAAUUCUCCAUAAAAUUUUAUUGCAUUUGGACUUCGUUUGAUAUGGAUUUUCCGCGAUACAAAAAACAUGCAAAAAACAGAAAUUUGCACUGGGCACUGGAUCAACAGGUUAGUCCAAAUAAAUCGUAUAAAAUGUUGCCAAAAGUAUGUAAAAGUUGUAUAAUAUUGGCAUGAAACAAUCAAAAAUUAUAGAUACGACGGAGACGUAUCAUGCUGGCUACAGUUUUUAGUUGGGUCAUCAUCAUUAUGCAUAAAACUGGUUCCUUUGUUUCGUCCUGAAUAAUAAGACAUCAUUGAUCGCACCAGCAUUUUGUUUCCUCUGAGCUUAGAAGCUGCACAGAAAGCUGAAGCAGCUCAGAAGCAUAAGAUUUUUCAUCGAGGACUACACAUGUGUCAUGUGUGAUCAGCAAGUUUUGGAGACACGAGAUCACUUGGUCCUUCAUCGUCCCUUCGCCAAACUAUGUUGGCAAUACAUCUGCCCCAGUUGGUGUCCCCUUCGCCAAACUAUGUUGGCAAUGCAUCUGCCCCAGUUGGUGUCCCCUUCUCCAAACUAUGUUGGCAAUACAUCUACCCUAGUUGGUGUCCCCUGUCUGCAGGUAUUCAAGAUCAGCUCAGUCAGUUAGUUCGCCUGCUCAAUCUUCCAUUUGCAAUGGAUGUCAUCAUACUGAUUGCUUGGGCCAUUUGGAACACGAGGAAUGCAUAUGUUUCCAGAAGGGGGUUAUCCCCAGUCUCUUUGCCUGCAGACGUAGGUUCAGGGAGGAGCUUCAGUGGUUACUUCUAAGAGCAAAGAGAAAAUCUUAUGCUACUCUGCCAGAUUGGGUUCAGACUUUCAGAUAAGCAGAGCAGAGCAGGGCUUUCACAGAUUCCAUAUCGCGGAGAUCAGCACUGUGGAAUGAACUUUUGCAAAGAUGAGAGCCGUCCCAAAGAUGACAAACCCUGCAACAACUGACUAUUAUUCGAUUAUUAUUCAUUCCAAUGCGGACAUCCGUUCUUAAUCUGAAAUGGUAGAACUGUCCGACCCAAACACAUUUAAUCAGUUCCCUAGGAGGGGGUUGGCAAGCAAACGCAUUUUGCUGAUAGUUUUAGUCGCGACGUGAGAUCAAACGGUGACAUUUUAGAAGAAACAUGCCUUUCUCUGAAGAAACCAUCAUAUUGUUCUGAAGAAAAUGUCCAGCAAAUCUAAAGAAACAAUCAGCAAAAGCGCUCACAAAUAUCAUCCAUGCCAUGGAACGCUUGCAAAUAUCAUCCCUCCUAUCAAACGUUCGCCAGUUAUUGCGGUCCUUAAUCAUUUUAAAUUUUAACACAGACACCCGAACUAUAUCCAUACAAUCAAAAUCCCUCAAUCUUGAAGGUCGAAGCAGAGGGAUCCGAGCGUGACGUCUACCACGUCGAUACUACAGCUCGGCCCCUCCUCCCUUUCAAACCAGCCCUCCUUCCCACUCUGAUCUCAACUCCAACGUACGAGCCGUUUCUUCUGGGUGUGUCUGUUUGGGUUUAAACGUACAAAUCCGACGGUCCAACGCAGCGAUCCAUCCCAUUUUCUUGUUUGCUUUGUGUCCAUUCGAACCCAUUUUUGUCCCAAAUUUGCUUACGGUUUGCGUCCAAAAAUACAAACACGCCUGCCCGCGCCUCCGCCCAUGCGCAAGCGUGGGCGGCGCGGUGCGGGCGCCGGUUAGGAGCAGCGGGCGCUCAGGGCAGCGUGGGCGGGUCAAUGGGGGCGGCAAGGCGCAGGCGCGAGACAGGAGCAACGCGGCCUCAGCCCACGCUCGCCAUAGCGGGGGGUCUGCUGCGUCGCCGACCACGCCGGGGCAUCUCAGGCGGUUGUACAGGGAGCGCCAAGUUGGGCUGCUGCUGCUGCGGAUGUGCAUCUCACCAAUGGAGCAGCCCCCACUCGGUGUUCGAAGAAAUGCCAAAUGGAGAAGCGCUGUUGGGUAGAUAUGCUCUGUCCGGGCGCGUUCGUUUGUCCGUUGUGCGUUUUUUCUAACCUACACGGACAAGCGGUCAUGCAUCGGAGCUGGCCUCCCUCGACAAGUCCCUCGGAGCAACUCCAACGCAUCGACCCAAACUGACGCAUAUUUUGUCCGUUUUUUAUCCGUUUUGGCCGGCUGCCCGCUCGUCGUCCGCCCGUGUUCGGACCAGUGCACCCAACCAGCCAACCCAUUUCUCGUCCGCAUAGAACACAAUUUGAACUUAAAAAAGCCCGCGGCCAAAGACCAUGCCAGCAGCCAUGCCAUCAUCCACAGUUCAUGUCGCCGGCCAUGUCAGUGGACGACAUACAUGUCAGCCUCCAAAAAGAAGCAUGCGGUUCAUGCUAGCGCACUUGCCAGUGGCCGCCACACAUGCCAGCACACAAAAAGGGCGGGAGUUCAACCAUACCAUCACGGUCGUGGUCAUGCCGGCACACUUGCCAGCAUACAAAAAAAGAUGGCGCUCUCCGCCAUAGAUCACUCGUCAUCAAGUUUGAGCAUGUCGGUCUGCAUCUUCUUGAACCAAGGCCUCUUCCUCGGGGACACCGUGCUCAAGUCCACCUUCAUGAUAUCCACCCCCUCAUCAUGCAAGAGAGUGUCACUUCUUUUGCUUUGGUCUUGGCUUUGCUAGCCUCGAUCUCGAGCAUCUUUGUUUGCUUCUCCGCCUCCAUCUCGAGCUUCUACCUUUGUAUCUCCAUGAAGGCCUUCAUUUGCUCUUUUUUGUCUUGCCGACGCUUCUCCUCCCUUGUAUCCUUGUCAGUCAUCAUGUCUUGCAAAGUUUCUUGCAAGGCAAUCAACGCCGCAUCACGCUUUUCCUCUUUCUUGGAGUUGUUCUUUCCCCGCAGUCGCGACUUCUCUCCCUCACCAUGCUCCUCGAUGGCUUUCAGCCCUCCACGUGCUUUGAGGGCGGCAUAUUGCUCCUUGAACUUCUUGCCCCCUUUUAUGACCAUGCAACAAUAGGUGAGGUUGAACGACGUGUUCCCAUGUUGGGCCGAAUGCUAUUAAAGCUUGGAAUACCUACAAAUGAAGAGCAUGCAAGCAUAUGAAGCAAAAUGGACAUGCAAUCAUGAAACAACGGAAAUGAAGAUGGAGGAAUGUAUACCAUGUCUUUGAUGCCGAGGCCACCCACGAGAUGACCUGCACAAUACUUGUUGCACUCUUGUUGUAUCACCCUCCAACGCUUCGAGAGGUACACCCACCCAUGCUUUGUCUCCAUCUUGUAUGACACGGACUUCUUGCAUUCAUGAUUCGCGAUGAACUCUUAACCAAAAGGUUGAUGCCUUUUGCUCGGCGCGGAUCUUGGGCUCCUGUCCAAUGUCCCUUCAACAUUCACAAAGGAGUUUGUCCUCAUCUUUGUGUAUGCCUUCAUCUGAAUGCUUUGGUGCUUCUUGUUUGCAUUGGCUUGGGUGGCGAGGUCGUUGUCAAAAGACAAAGGCUCCCCUUCGAUGGCCACUUCAUCAUCUUCUUCUAGGUCGUAGUCUUCCGGGAACUCGUGGUUUUGCAGGAAAGUGUUGCCCAUGCCAUCUUGGCCUUGCGUGAAGGGGUCGGUCGUGCCUCCAUGGCCUUGAGCAAAGGUGUCGGCCGUGCCCUCGUGGCCGGGCCAUGAAGGGCCCUUGGCCAUCUUGGCUUUGGGUCUCGUCGAGAUGGAAGGCCGCGCCACCCACACCGGCUUCGAAGAUGAUAUUCUCCAUGAAGAAACGGUUGGCCGUCUUGUCGUCCAUGACCGGCAUUGUGUCGGAUUGGUUGCGGGCAUCGGGGAUCUACCACGGGCAUUUGCUCUGGCCCCAAGUGGACGAUCCACCGGCCACAGGUGUGGCAUUGAGGUCGAUGGCCAUGGACGCAGGUGUGGCCGGCGCGACCACGCUCACCUCCGGCGAACCGGAGCCCGGAGAGGUGGAGAAACGGGAGGCUUGCGGGUGGGGAUGGAAGCCGGGCGUCUGCGGCGUGGUGGACGUGUGUGGCGACUUUGACACUGGCGGAUGAAUGGCUGACGAGCCCGUGCUAGCCGCGGCCACGGUGGUAGCGGCGAGCCUGUGCUGGCCUGGGUUUAACCCUAGGUAGAGUAGGGCCUCCCUCGUGGCCGCCAAGACGAGGAGGUUAUUCUCCGCGAUGGUGGCCUCUUGUUGUGCAGACGCGGCUUCGAGCUUGACGGCCUACACCUUCCUCUUGGCCGACUACAUAGCCCGCUGCGCGUUCGUCAGCUCCUUCUUCUUGGUCGGUGCCGCGGGGCUUGCCUUUGGCAGAGGUGAGGCCGGCGGCGGCGGCGAGGAUCUGCGCGUCAUCCAUGGCGAGCAGGAAAAUUGGGGUCGUUGUGCCACAUGAAGGAAAUAUGCCCUAGAGGCAAUAAUAAAGUUGUUAUUUGUUUUCCUUAUAUCAUAAAUGUUUAUUAUUCAUGCUAGAAUUGUAUUAACCGAAAACUUAGUACAUGUGUGAAUACAUAGACAAACAGAGUGUCACUAGUAUGCCUCUACUUGACUAGCUCGCUGAAUCAAAGAUGGUUAAGUUUCCUAGCCAUAGACAUGAGUUGUCAUUUGAUUAACGGGAUCACAUCAUUAGAGAAUGAUGUGAUUGACUUGACCCAUUCCGUUAGCUUAGCAUUUGAUCGUUUAGUAUAUUGCUAUUGCUUUCUUCAUGACUUAUAUAUGUUCCUAUGACUAUGAGAUUAUGCAACUCCCGAAUACCGGAGGAACACUUUGUAUGCUACCAAACAUCACAACGUAACUGGGUGAUUAUAAAGGUGCUCUACAGGUGUCUCCGAUGGUACUUGUUGAGUUGGCAUAGAUCAAGAUUAGGAUUUGUCACUCCGAUUGUCGGAGAGGUAUCUCUGGGCCCUCUCGGUAAUGCACAUCACUAUAAGCCUUGCAAGCAAUGAAACUAAUGAGUUAGUUGCGGGAUGAUGCAUUACGGAACGAGUAAAGAGACUUGCCAGUAACGAGAUUGAACUAGGUAUUGAGAUACCGACGAUCAAAUCUCGGGCAAGUAACAUACCGAUGACAAAGGGAACAACGUAUGUUGUUAUGCGGUUUGACCGAUAAAGACCUUCAUAGAAUAUGUAGGAGCCAAUAUGAGCAUCCAGGUUCCGCUAUUGGUUAUUGACCGGAGAUGAGUCUCGGUCAUGUCUACAUAGUUCUCAAACCCGUAGGGUCCGCACGCUUAACGUUCGGUGACGAUCGGUAUUAUGAGUUUAUGUGUUUUGAUGUACCAAAGGUAGUUCAGAGUCUCGGAUAUGAUCACGGACAUGACGAGGAGUCUCGAAAUGGUCGAGACAUAAAGAUCGAUAUAUUGGAAGCCUAUAUUUGGACAUCGAAAUAGUUCCGAGUGAAAUUGGGAUUUUACCGAGUACUGGGAGGUUACCGGAACCCCCCGGUAAGUGUAUGGGCCUUAUUGGGCCAUAGUGGAGAGAGAGAGAGGAGACCAGGGGAGGCCGCUGAUACGUCUAUUUUGCAUCAUGCUUUUAUAUCGAUAUUUAUUGCAUUAUGGGCUGUUAUUACACGUUAUGUCACAAUACUUAUGCCUAUUCUCUCUUAUUUUACAAGGUUUACAUGAGGAGGGAGAAUGCCGGCAGCUGGAAUUCUGGGCUGGAAAAGGAGCAAAUAUUAGAGACCUAUUCUGCACAACUCCAAAAGUCCUGAAACUCCACGAAAGUUAUUUUUGGAAAUAAUAAAAAAUAUUGAGCGGAAGAAGUACGUCAGAGGGGGCCCCACCUGGCCACGAGAGUGGGGGCGCGCCCUACCCCCCAGGGCGCGCCCCCCUGCCUCGUGGGCCCCCUGUUGGCUCUUCGGUGGCCAUCUUCUACUAUAUGAAGUCUUUCGUCAAGGGAAAAAUCAUAAGCAACCUUUCGGGACGAGACUCCGCCGCCACGAGGCGGAACCUUGGCGGAACCAAUCUAGGGCUCCGGCAGAGCUGUUCUGCCGGGGACACUUCCCUCCGGGAGGGGGAAAUCAUCGACAUCGUCAUCACCAACGCUCCUCUCAUCAGGAGAGGGCAAUCUCCAUCAACAUCUUCACCAGCACCAUCUCUUCUCAAAACCCUAGUUCAUCUCUUGUAUCCAAUUCUUGUCUCCAAGUCCGGGAUUGGUACUAGUAGGUUGCUAGUAGUGUUGAUUACUCCUUGUAGUUGAUGCUAGUUGGUUUAUUUGGUGGAAGAUCAUAUGUUCAGAUCUUAUAUGCAUAUUAAUACUCCUCUGAUUAUGAACAUGAAUAUGCUUUGUGAGUAGUUACGUUUGUUCCUGAGGACAUGGGAGAAGUCUUGCUAUUAGUAGUCAUGUGAAUUUGGUAUUCGUUCGAUAUUUGGAUGAGAUGUAUGUUGUCUAGCCUCUAGUGGUGUUAUGUGAACGUCGACUACAUAACACUUCACUGUUAUUUAGAGGAAGGCAUUGAGAAGUAAUAAGUAGAUGAUGGGUUGCUAGAGUGACAGAAGCUUAAACCCUAGUUUAUGCGUUGCUUCGUAAGGGGCUGAUUUGGAUCCAUGUGUUUCAUGCUAUGGUUAGGUUUACCUUAAUACUUUUGUUGUAGUUGCGGAUGCUUGCAAUAGAGGUUAAUCAUAAGUGGGAUGCUUGUUCAAGUAAGAACAGCACCCAAGCACCGGUCCACCUAGUACCGAACGCGAAUCAUAUGAACGUGAUGAAAACUAGCUUGACGAUAAUUCCCAUGUGUCCUCAGGAGCGCUUUUCUCUAUAUAAGAGUUUGUCCAGGCUUGUCCUUUGCUACAAAAAGGAUUGGGCCACCUUGCUGCACUUUAUUUACUUUUUUUACUUGUUGCUCGUUACAAAUUAUCCUAUCACAAAACUAUAUGUUACCUCUUAUUUCAGUAUUUGCAGAGAAUACCUUGCUGAAAACCGCUUAUCAUUUCCUUCUGCUCCUCGUUGGGUUCGACACUCUUACUUAUCGAAAGGACUACGAUAGAUCCCCUAUACUUGUGGGUCAUCAAGACUCUUUUUUGGCGCCGUUGCCGGGGAGUGAAGCGCCUUUGGUAGGUGGAAUUUGGUAAGGAAAAAUUUAUAUAGUGUGCUGAAAUUUACUGUCACUUGUUACUAUGGAAAGUAAUCCUCUGAGGGGCUUGUUUGGGGUAUCUUCACCCCGACCAGUAGAGCAAAGAGUUACUCCUCAACCUACUGAACCUACUGAAAAUGAAAAUGUUCCCUUUGAAGUUCCUUAGGGUAUGUUAGAAAAACUGCUAGCUAAUCCUUUUGCAGGAGAUGGAACAAAGCAUCCUGAUGAGCACCUAAUCUAUGUGGAUGAAGUUUGUGGAUUAUUUAAGCAUGCAGGUAUACCUGAUGAUGUUGUUAAGAAGAAGGUCUUCCCUUUAUCUUUGAAGGGAGAUGCAUCGACAUGGUAUAGGCUAUGUGAUGAUACGGGGUCAUGGAACUACAAACGAUUGAAAUUGGAAUUUCAUCAGAAGUUUUAUCCUAUGCAUCUUGUUCAUCGUGAUCACAAUUAUAUAUAUAAUUUUUGGCCUCGCGAAGGGGAAAGCAUCGCUCAAGCUUGGGGGAGGCUUAAAUCAAUGUUAUAUUCAUGCCCCAAUCAUGAGCUCUCAAGAGAAAUAAUUAUUCAAAGUUAUUAUGCUCGGCUUUCUGAUAACAAUCGCACCAUGCUCGAUACUUCUUGUGCUGGCUCUUUUAUGAUGAAGACUAUUGAAUUCAAAUGGAGUUUAUUGGAUAGAAUUAAACGCAACUCUGAAGAUUGGGAUCUCGACAAAGGUAAGGAGUCAGGUAUGACACCUAAGUUUGAUUGUGUUAAAUCUUUUAUGGAUACAGAUGUUUUCCGUAAAUUUAGCACUAAAUAUGGACUUGACUCUGAGAUAGUAGCAUCUUUCUGUGAAUCUUUUGCUACUUAUGUUGAUCUUCCCACAGAGAAGUGGUUUAAAUAUCAUCCUCCUAUAGAAGUAAAAGUAGCUGCACCUAUUAAAGUUGAAGAAAAGACUAUCACUUAUAAUGAUCCUGUUGUUCCUACUUCUUAUGUUGAGAAACCACCUUUCCCUGUUAGGAUAAGGGAUCAUGCUAAAGCUUCAACUGUGGUUCGUAAAAGCAAUAUUAGAACUUAUACCCCUCCUGAGCAAAUUAAAGUUGAACCUAAUAUUGCUAUUGUUAAAGAUCUCUUGGCUGAUAAUAUUGAUGGGCAUGUUAUUUAUUUCUGCGGUGAAACUGCUAGAAUUGCCAAACCUUGUGCUAAAGAUAAACAUAGACCUGUGGUAGGCAUGCAUGUUAUUUCUGUUAAAAUAGGAGAUCAUUGUUAUCAUGGCUUGUGUGAUAUGGGUGCUAGUGUUAGUGCAAUACCUUAUGACUUAUACAAAGAAAUUAUGCAUGAUAUUGCACCUGCUGAGAUAGAAGAUAUUGAUGUCACAAUUAAACUUGCCAAUAGAGAUACUAUUUCACCAAUGGGAAUUGUUAGAGAUGUUGAAGUCUUGUGUGGGAAAACUAAAUAUCCUACUGAUUUUCUUGUUCUUGGUUCCCCACAAGAUAGCUUUUGUCCCAUAAUAUGUGGUAGACCCUUCUUGAACACAGUCAAUGCUAGGAUAGACUGCGAAAAGAGUGUUGUUACUAUUGGCUUGGGUGAUAUGUCUCAUGAGUUUAAUUUCUCUAAAUUUAGUAGACAACACCGUGAAGAAGAAUUACCUAGUAAGGAUGAAAUUAUUGGUCUUGCUUCUAUUGCCGUACCUCCUAGUGAUCCUUUAGAACAAUAUUUGCUAGACCAUGAAAAUGAUAUGUUCAUGAAUGAAAGAAGGGAAAUAGAUGAAGUAAUUUGUUCGAUUGAAGUAAUUUGCUCAAUUCUAUCAAUUGCUCGACAGUAAUUUGUUCACCCACUGUAAUACUUAUGCUCUUGAGAGAAGCCACUAGUGAAACCUAUGGCCCCCGGGUCUAUUUUCCAUCAUAUUAAUCUUCCAACACUUGGCUAUUUCUAUUGCCUUUUAUUUACUUUGCAUCUUUAUUUCUCUUUAUCAUAAAAAUACCAAAAAUAUUAUCUUAUCAUAUCUAUCAGAUCUCACUCUCGUAAGUGACCGUGAAGGGAUUGACAACCCCUUUAUUGCAUUGGCUGCGAGGUUCUUAUUUGUUUGUGUAGGUGCGAGGGACUUGAGCGUGGUCUCCUACUGGAUUGAUACCUUGGUUCUCAAAAAUUGAGGGAAAUACUUACGCUACUUUACUGCAUCACCCUUUCCUCUUCAAGGAAAAAACCAACACAGUGCUCAAGAGGUAGCAAGAAGGAUUUCUGGCGCCGUUGCCGGGGAGAUUCGCACCAAGUCAAGACAUACCAAGUACCCCUCACAAACCCUUAUCCCUCGCAUUACAUUAUUUGCCAUUUGCCUCUCGUUUUCCUCUCCCCCACUUCACCCUUGCCGUUUUAUUAGCCCUCUCUUUUCCGCUUGCCUUUCUUUUGCCAUGUCGGAACCAAAAAGAGUUUGGGGGUUCUCUCCCGAGUUUUAGUACUUUGGACGAUCCUUCUAUUCUAUCUAAACUCAUAAAUAAUGCUAUGGAAAAACCUGCCGGAGUUGUCAAUGAGAGUCUUAGUAAUUUUGAUGAAGAUGAUUCCAGAAUUUUUCGUUAUUUACUCGAUGAAUCUUUGAAAAAAAAAGGCGGAUUAUGGGAGUGUGUGACUUGAAUUAUUGAUUUGGCCAUGCAGAUAAAGAAUUGGAUCUGCCACAUUAGAAUUCACAACCAAAGGUGUCUCCGCAUCCAAUCAACAUGUAAGUCCCCUACCUAGGAAGGAUAGGCUGGUUCACUUGAGGAGAAUAUCUUCUAUGAUCAUACCGCAACCAUGUCAUCCAUGAACAGGCUCCGUAAGAUCCCAUAGAGUAGAAAUGGAAUAAGUCAUGUGACAUGAUCCAGUUCUCUAUUUAUUACACUUACCUUUUUAUUAUAGUAUGGAAAUGCAUUCAUUUUCUUUGCAUCGAUUGUGAUCCGCAAUACUAUCGGAGUAAAAGAAGGGAUCUAAGGAAGAAUGUAGGCUAAACUUUUUGAUUUUUUAUUAGUAACAAGUAAAUAUUUUGUUUGGAGGUAAGAAACUUGCGAUAUUGAGGGGAUAAAUACCAACUAAUCAAGAGACAUGAGACAAUACAAAUAGUUGAAGUUAAUUUUACGAAAGAAAAAAGGCGGAUUAUGGGAGUGUGUGACUUGAAUUAUUGAUUUGGCCAUGCAGAUAAAGAAUUGGAUCUGCCACAUUAGAAUUCACAACCAAAGGUGUCUCCGCAUCCAAUCAACAUGUAAGUCCCCUACCUAGGAAGGAUAGGCUGGUUCACUUGAGGAGAAUAUCUUCUAUGAUCAUACCGCAACCAUGUCAUCCAUGAACAGGCUCCGUAAGAUCCCAUAGAGUAGAAAUGGAAUAAGUCAUGUGACAUGAUCCAGUUCUCUAUUUAUUACACUUACCUGUUUAUUAUAGUAUGGAAAUGCAUUCAUUUUCUUUGCAUCGAUUGUGAUCCGCAAUACUAUCGGAGUAAAAGAAGGGAUCUAAGGAAGAAUGUAGGCUAAACUUUUUGAUUUUUUAUUAGUAACAAGUAAAUAUUUUGUUUGGAGGUAAGAAACUUGCGAUAUUGAGGGGAUAAAUACCAACUAAUCAAGAGACAUGAGACAAUCCACAAAGCAAUUGAUCAUGAUCAAAUUUGUAAGCCCACUUGGAUAUUGAGCAUUUACCCAUAAGAAUAGGAUUAUUUUCAAUGAGUAGUUGUAGGUGCAACUUCGGAAAAGAGAAUCUGAUAAAGCUUUUCUUGCCUAGAGUCAUUGAGUCAUUAUAAACCUUAAUUCUAUUAAGGAUCUUCCGCGGUCUUAUUUCUUUCACUCUUGCUCGAGCCGGAUGAUGAUAAAUUCUCAUGUCCGGUUCCUUUGGGGGAUGGAUCCUAAAGAGUUCACCUAUCCCAAUAACAAAGAAACCAGACUUAAAUGAUCCUGUAUUAAGAGCUAAAUUAGCUAAAGGGAUGGGACAUAAUUAUUACGGGGAACCCGCAUGGCCCAACGAUAUUUUAUAUAUUUUUCCAGUAGUAAUUCUAGGUACUAUUGCAUGUAAUGUAGGUUUAGCGGUUCUCGAGCCAUCAAUGAUUGGUGAACCGGCAGAUCCGUUUGCAACUCUUCUGGAAAUAUUACCCGAGUGGUACUUCUUUCCCAUGUUUCAAAUACUCCGUACGGUACCCAAUAAGUUAUUGGGCGUUCUUUUAAUGGUUUCUGUGCCAACAGGCUUAUUGACAGUACCUUUUCUAGAGAAUGUCAAUAAAUUCCAAAAUCCAUUUCGCCGCCCAGUAGCUACGACCGUUUUUUUAAUCGGUACUGUAGUAGCUCUUUGGUUAGGUAUUGGAGCAACAUUACCCAUUGAUAAAUCAUUAACUUUAGGUCUUUUUUAGAUAUUUUUUGAUUCAUUCAACCGUGAAGUACCAUAGGUAUCUACGAAAUAGUUACUUCCAAGUGAAUCUUCCCUAGAUACCUAAAAUCCAUUUUAUUAUGAUCCAUUUCGCGAAAAUAUAGAUUGUACCAAAGAUGCUAAAUUGUUUUCUUUUUAUUCUAACUCGAAAAAGAAGAAGAAAAAAAUUUGCAAUGGAUUUAAAACGAGAGUUUAUUCUUAAGUAAAUCAAUUGGGAGAUGCUUCUCUAGAGUGUCCCAUAUAUGUUUUCUAUCUUCCAUACGAAAACUGUCAAUUCUCAGAAGAUCUUCUUCAGUCUUACUCAAAAGGUCCAAUAGUGUAUGUAUAUUGGCCCUUUUUAGACAAUUAUACGUUCUAGAAGUCAAUUCUAAUUGAUCAAUAAAAAUACAAUUCAAUGGAAUUCCUUUUUUGUUUUUCUUUAGAUUAGUUAAUCUUUUUUGAAAAGUAAAAAGGGGUGGAGUAAACCUGUUUUUAUUUUCUUCGAAACUAGCGCCCUCUUCCUCCGCGUGUAGAAAAGGAAGAAAUAAAUCAAUCAAAUUACGAGAAGCCUCAUAAAGUGCUUCCUUAGGGGUUAAACUUCCAUUAGUCCAUAUUUCUAGAAAAAGUAUCUCGUGUUUUUCAUUUUCAUUCCCACAAGAAAAAAUACUAUAAUUCACAUUUUGAACAGGCAUGGAUACAGCAUCUAUAGGAUAACUUCCAUCUUGAUAGUUCUUUCUGAGUUCUGUCUGAUAUCCACGAUCUCUCUUGAUCUGUAAAUCAAUACAGAAAUCAAUGGGCUCUGUCAAGUUAGCUAUAGGUUGUGCCGUAUCAACGAUUUCUACGGAAGGCGGUAAGAUGAUAUCUUGAGCAGUUAUGUAUCUAGGACCUUUGACGCAAAUGGAUGCGUCUCUAACUCCAUAGAGAUUACUUCUCAAUACAAUUUCUUUCAAAUUUAGUAAAAUUUCUUGUACGGAUUCUUCAAUACCUGCUAUUGUAGAAUACUCGUGCGGCACGCUCCCAAAUUUUGCACGUGUGAUACAUGUUCCUUCUAUUUCUCCAAGUAAAGCUCUUCGCAAGGCAAUACCGACGGUGUCCGCUUGACCUUUUCUAAGCGGGGACAGAAUGAAACGACCAUAAUAAAGGCGCUUACUAUCCACUCUUGAUUCAACACACUUCCACUGUAGUGUUUGAGUGGAUCCUGCUACCUCCUCUCGAACCAUAAUAGACUAGUAUUAUUAUUUUAUCAUUGAAUCGUUUAUUUCUCUUGAAAUGAAAGUUGAAAGCGGGUUAAUUCUUUUACAGACGUCUUUUUUAGGCGGUCGACAUCCAUUAUGCGGCAUAGGUGUUACAUCGCGUAUACAACUUAAUCGCACACCACUUUUAGCAAUGGCUCGUAAUGCGGCAUCUCUUCCACUACCAGCGCCCUUUACCAUAACUUCUGCUCGUUGCAAACCUACUGUACGAAUAGCAUCUACUGCUGUUCUUUGACCAGCAUAGGGUGAUGCUUUUCUUGAGCUUUUGAAUCCACAAGUACCGGCCGAGGACCAAAAAACCACCCGACCUUGUGGGUCUGUAACAGUUAUAAUGGUAUUGUUGAAACUAGCUUGAACAUGAAUAACCCCUUUUGUUAUUCUACGUGCACUCUUCCGUAAACUAAAACGUGCAUUCCUACGUAAACCAAUACGCACUUUCUUACGUGAACCAAUUUUUGGUAUAGCUUUUGCCAUAUUUUAUUAUCUCAUAAAUAUGAGUUAGAAAUAAAAAAAG
This 64981-nucleotide long non-coding RNA is filed under the name Triticum aestivum (bread wheat). The record is from RNAcentral. Lineage: Eukaryota; Viridiplantae; Streptophyta; Magnoliopsida; Poales; Poaceae.